AAAAAAGGAAAAUAAUGUUAUUUGCAUUGAAUGAACAAAUGAUUAGCAUAGUAGCAAAACUACUUAAAAUAAGAGAAAUUAGAAACCAAAAAGCAGCACAGCAUGAGUCUGGGCAUUGCAUGUUGGAUGAUCGAAACAGAGGUCUUGAUUGAGAAUCUAGAUCCUGAAAUACGCAGGCCUGCAAAAAGUCAUUCGAAGAAGUGUGCAAAACUCCCAUCAUUCAGCUUUCAUUUCUGCUUCCCGCUCGGCAGGAUCAUUCUGUACUGAGUUGUUUUUUGAACUGUGACAGAUAGGAAACUUAUCCCGGUGAGUUUUUAUUCCGGGAUGUCAAGGGCACAAUGCGUAGCUUAGUGAAUCUCCAUCAUCUUUGCUGCAGGUGUAAGUUAUGAAGAUAAUUGCUAGAUGGAGGAUUGUCACACUAGUGAUUUAGCAUCUGUUUCAAGCCAGAAUCAUCAUUAAAUCACAGAUUUGCUUUACAAGCAAUAACUAGGGGGAUUUCAUAUUACAAGUAGAGUCUUUAUUACUUACUGAAUCGCUUAUUUUUGAAGACAGAAGAAGAGGAGAGCUCACGUUUUGUUUUUACUGCACAAAUACUGCAUAUGGAAUCUGAGUGAGAAGUUACUCUCUAAAAAUUUCAACAGUGUAUUUGAGAGGUUCCUUUGAGCGAAUCUUCUGGCAGCAGACUCAAAGUAGUCAUCCAAUAAGUAGAAAUUCUUCUAUGGAAGGCCACACACAUUAAUAGCAGUUCUUUCAAGGCGAAUUAUGCCAAGCCAAUCCAGGAAUUGCUGCCAUGGCAUGUAGUUGUGGUCUCUUAAUGCGUUCGAGUAACUGCUGCACAAGGAAUCAAAUUAAUCUUUAAAUCCGUGAAAUUAAAAGGGAUGCAGAAUUACAAAACUAAUAAUAAUAACAAUAAUAAUAAGAUGGAUAGAAGCAUGACCUGCCAAUGCAUGAUUUCGGCAAGCCUUUGCAUUGGUUCACCACUUCCCAAUGCAUUAAGAAUUUCAACAGCAUCCCAGAAUUUCAAUAGCAUUGAUGAGCCUUGAUGGAGAAAUGAGAGUCCAGUUAAAAUUAUUCAAAAUGCAUAUUCACUCGCCAAGAACAUAUGCACCCAGAAAUCUCCUUAAAUAAAUAAGGUUUUAACAAGGUGAAUGCUUUGCUUUUUUCUUUUUUUUGGGAAGAACUUCAAAGUAAACAAAGGUAAGACUAUUGGGUUUCGAUGUUUACCUUGUGUGGGAGAAAUAUAAUGUUUACCCAGAAAUCACAUUUUGUUUUCAGAAUAAAUGGUUUUUUCCACCUCUGCAUUUGACAUUGAAAAAACUUGAAUAAAUACCAAAUAAUUAAGAAAUGCUGCUGAUUUAAUUUACAAAGGAAUGGUGCCUGUGAAGAGAAAUUGACAUAUGACAAUCACCUUCAGCACAAUCAAUUCUCAUCCUAAGUUAGAAGACUAAUCAAACUAAUUGCAGCAAUAACAUCUUUUCCACGACGUCUACUAACUUCUGCACAUAGAGUCAAAAUUAAUCCGUUAUAUCCAUGAAAAGAAUGAAGGCAGAAUUACAUUAAAAAAUGAAUAAAAAAUGAUGGUUAAAAGAAUGACCUGCCAAUGCAUUUAAAAUUUCUUUGAAUUUGUUUCCCACAUCCCAAUUUAAUAGAAUUUCAGGUGAGUAAAAAACAAAUAAAUGAUUCCUCUAGCUUGAUGAGCCUGUACAUGUGGGAAAAAAGAGUUAAAAUAUUAUCAUAAAGCAAAUAAAUUCUCAAUUAUACAAAAAAUAAAAGAAAAAAAAGGUACUCUGUAUAUUGAUCUUGAUUGUAAAGAAAUAAUGACAAAAGGAUACUUACGAACUCAAAGGUAAUACACUGCUCAUUUUGGAAGAAACACAUCCAACACUUCAAAACUUAUCCUUCAUUGAUCUGUGUAAAUAGAAUCAUAGAGUGAAGAUUUUCUCAUGUAAGUUUAAUUUGCAAAUUGGAGAGAAAAAGGACCAACUUACCGAAGCUUCAUCAUCCAGUAGAUAGCGGCCCUCUCUUUGAAUUCUUUGGUCAUCAACCUCAAUAUUUGGGAUGUGAGAAAUGCAAGCCCAAUCCGCACCCUUUCUAUUUCCACAUCUUUCCUUCAAUUGGGGACAGUCAUUGAUAUUCAAUUCUCGUAACGAGGUGAGGGAACGCAUCUCUUGAGGCAGACACUUUAUUGCCGGACAAAUCUCAAUGGUUAGUCUUUGAAGACAAGUGAGAUUCCGCAGUCCAUCUGGAGGUAGAGAUUCGAGCUCUUUAAUGUCCCUAAUCCGAAGGAUCUUCAAUUUAGAGAGAGGAGGAACGAUUGAGGAAGAAGAAGAGAUUGAUGGUGUGAAUAUUUGGUGCACAAGUUGUGGGCUUGCGUACCGCAAAGAUAGUGAAUGAUCGAGAGAUGGAAACUGAGGGAUGGAGGUCAAAUUAGGGCAGUCCUCACAAACGAAAUAUGAAAGACAAGGAAAUUGGAGUAGCUCAAGAGCUGUCGAAUCAUCCUCCUUCUUCUUCUGCCAUCCUUUAAGCUUAGGACAACGAUAUAGCUCGAGAGUCUUUAGGGAUGGAAAGAAUGAUGUUGGUUGUUCCUCAAUCUCCAUGUAUUCUAAAUCAUCUACUCCCCAAAUCUCUAGAUAUUGAAGAGAAGGGAUUUGAUCCAUUGGUGGGAGAUGCUGAUAUCUCUUGCAAUUCCAUAUACAGAGAUAGACAAGAUUCGUGAGGGAAGAGAACCAACUUGGGAACCUCCUGCCUCCAUAGUUAAGCACGCGUAACUCUUUAAGAUUGGGAUGUGGUUGGAGAUUUUGGAAUGCCAUUUCAUCUCUAUCAACAUUUGAAUCUUCCCAACUCUCCUCCCAACUUAAUUUCAAUGAUUGAAUGAGUGGCUUCUCUUUCAAAUUAACAUUUACAAUCUCAUUAUCCACACAUCCCAGAUUUCUAAUUGCAAGACGUCCCCUCAAAUUGCUAAGCUUAUUCAAUUCAUUUAUUUUUCCAACAUCCUUUGAGGAAAUAUGCCCUUUUGCCACUACGAACAGUGACAACGUCUGAAGUGAAGUCAACUGCCCAAGCCCACGUGGCAUAUGAGUCAAAGAGUAACAACCUUCACAAUAUAAAUGCCUAAGAUUCACAAGCUUUUUAAUAUCUUUAGGCAAUUCUUUGAGCUGGACACAAUAAGAGACAUCGAAUACUUGUAAAUUCAGCAAAUCCGUAAUAGAAUGUGAAAGUGCUUUAAGUCCCUUGUUAUCGGAAACAUCAAGAUAUCUUAUAUAUUUUAGCAUUUUUAUAGAAUUAUCCACCGUUUUAUAUGAAUGCAUUGUAAAUACACGUAAAAAUUUUAAAUUUUUAUAAAUAAAUAACUGAUCGUAAUCAUAUUUCUCAAGAAAAAGAAGCGAUCGUAGUCUUUUUGUGUUAUUAAGAAUUUCUUUUGAUGCAACAUCCAAAUUCAAUGCUAAAUGAUGGAUUUUAUCAUCAAUAUUUGAUGCAUCAGAAUUUACUAGCUGAAUUCUCUUCCCACCCACUGUGGUUGCGAGAUCGUGCAUUAAAUCAUGCAUUUUACAGCUUUCUACAUUUCCACAUCUAUCUCUUUUCACCUCUUGAAAAAAUGACCUCCACCACAGUUUCAUAAAAUAUUCAAGCCCAAUAUCUUCAAGACAAUCACUCCAACUUGGUGACUCAAUAAACCCUUGUGCAAUCCAAAGAUGGAUUAAUCUUUUCACAUCAAUCACAUAAUCUUUUGGAUAUAUUGCGCAAUAUGCAAAACAAUGCUUCAAAUGUGAUGGGAGAUGAUCAUAACUUAGCUUCAGUGUUGGCAUAAUAUCAUUACCAUCUUGACUUAUUCUUGAGAGUUCUUUUGUUAAAAAGGGCAGCCACUCAGUUUCUGGAUUUUUCGCAUACAAGAGACUUGCGAUAGUUUUUAUUGCAAGAGGAACUCCAUGACAUUUCUUCAAAAUCUCCUUUCCCAUCUCUCUUACAUUUGCAUGUUUUGGCUCCUGCCCCUCAAGUGCUACAUGCAAAAACAAAGACCAAGACUCAUCCGGAGACAACCCUUCCAAAACAUGUGGUGCUAUUGUGCCAGAUAUAUCUGCCACCAUUUUAGAGCGAGUGGUUAUUAAUAUCUUACUUCCACUAGAGCCACCCACUAAUAAUCUCUUUAAAUUCUGCCAUUUUUCUCUAUUCUCAUUCCACACAUCAUCUAGAACAAGCAGAUAUUUCUUCCCACUAAAAAUUUUUUCCAGUCUAGACUUCAAUGCUUCUAACCCAAGAUCUUCCGAUCUAUUCCCUGUUGCAGACUCUAGAAUCUUUCCAACAGUCAUUUUCACAUCAAAAGGUUCUGAAACACACACCCAUAUUCUUGGCUCAAAUGAAUUCUUAAUCAAUUCAUCAUUCAAUAUGAUUUGAGCAAGAGUGGUCUUCCCUAAUCCUCCAAUUCCAACAAUUGAGAGGACUGAAACACACUCUUCACCAUUGGAAGACAAUACAAGUUGUGUAAUUGCCUUUUUGUCACCCUCUCUCCCAAUAACCACUUCAGGUAAAGAGGACGUAGUUUGAUCCCUCCAUACAAUACUCUCCUGAUCAGUACGAACCUCUAAAUUAAAUUUUCUGUCAGCUUCAAUAUCAGCUAGCCUCUCCCUAAUCGCCUUAACUUUAUGACCCAUUUUAAAACCAUAAACAAGUUUAUUUGAAGACGAAAAGAAGAGACUUACCUCCUUUGUCAUUCUAUUUCCAGUCAUCACUCGGCGCCUUAGGGCUUCUGUGGCGAAGUCAUCUACCAAGUCAUCAGCAUCAUAAACCACUUCUUCUAGCCUCUCAAGCCAGCCUUUCACUUGACGGUUAAGUUUCUGCUGCUCCUCAGCAUCCAGAAGAACGUUGCGAAUACUAGAAACUGUGGCCUCAAGUUUCUUAAGCUCACCUUUGACGCCCCACCACAAUCCGAUCUCAUGAAGGGCUCGAGAACCCAGCUUGGUAAUGAUAUCUAUGACAACGUUAGAGAGAACUCCGUCGGCCAUUUUGGGUGUUUUGGUUUGAUUGUAAAAGGAUGAAAUGUUGCUGUGAAGAAGAAGAUGGUGACAACAAAUGACUAAUUUAAAGAAAAAAAAAAGUGAAGGAAAAAGCAUUCUUCUAAAUAAUUAUCUUCAGUCGGUCAGCUUUGGUGGGCGGUGGUUUGCUUUAAUUUAAAAAGUAAAAUAUAUUAAUAAAUUUAUAUAUAGAAUGAAAGUAAGUUAUGUUUUUUUUAAAAUAAUUUUAUUUUUUUAUUUAAAAAAUAUUUUUUAUUAAAUAAAUUUUGAGUGAUUCAAAUCGUUAAAAAAUAUAAAAUAUAUUUUUAAUGUUAAUGAAUUUUGGUUAUUGAAAUGAAAGUAUUUUUAUAUAUUUGUAUGAUGAUAUAAAAUUAUAUCAGGUGUAACAUGUAUAAUAGAUUUAUUAUGAGUUUUAAAGAUUUUAAAUGGAUCUGAAUUUCAAUACUGUAGCGAUUUGAUUUUUGAAUCGUUAUAGAAAUAACCGGUUGAUUUUAUGAAUUCUAGUACUGUAGCGAUUCGAUUUUUAAAUCGUCAUAGGAACAAUAAUCAUUAUAGGAACAAUAGGUUGAUUUUAUUUUUUGGGUAACAGAAUCUCAAGAGUAUCCUAUUGCAUAUUAUAGAUCCAUCGAUGUUAGAGAUGUUGUGUAUGCACACAUUCAAGAUUUGGAGAUUCCUUCUCUUCUGAGGUUCUAAAGAUUGUGUCAGCAACAUUAUCCUACAUUGCACCUUUCAAAAAAGUAUGAUUUUUUUUAUAUUUUUGCAUGCUCAUUUUGAACCAGCUAUAUAAAUGCUAAGAUCUAUAAUUAUUCGGAUAAUUGAGAAAUAGUUGUUUUGAAUGAUUAAUUUGAUCAUGGAAUAUAAUCUGAGUUGCAGAUGUGGCUCUAGAUUGAAUUACUUAACAAAGUAUGAGGUAUCAAAGGAAAAAGCGAAAACUUUGGGCAUUGACUUCAUUCCUUUGGAGGUUAGUUUGAAGGACACUAUUGAAAGCUUGAAGCAGAAGGGCUUCCUCAGCAUUUGAUUUUGGCUGUUGGAUAAAAAGCAAUGCAAAUAUUACAUUGGCCUUAGCUUCCUAUUGGUGCAAGAUCUUAUUGCCCUUCAAGAUUGUCUUUAUUUGAAAAAAGUGGACCAAUACAAUUUAUAAAAUAUAUAACAAUUUGUAUAUAACUGUGUAUAAACAUAUUACAUGUGUCACUUGUUUUAGUGAUAGAUGAAGUUCGUUUCAGGUCUGAUUUAUGAGGAAAUUACUUUUUUUUUUUUUUUUAUCUGAUUUCAGGUCACAUUCCAAAGAAUAAGACACAAGAAAAAGAAAAUGUAUAAUCCACCAAUUCUGAUUUAGUUCGGUCUUUUCAAAGUAUAUUCAGAUUUCAUAGCCAAUUCAUUUAAUGCCGUAUCUGAUUUCUGGUUCUUGUGAUAUGCUCUUACAAAAUUCAUCUAAAAUUCAGUGCUCUUACACAUUCUGGAAACACAAUUUAUACAAAAACUGAUUUCUCAGGAAAAAAAAGGAAAAUAAUGUUAUUUGCAUUGAAUGAACAAAUGAUUAGCAUAGUAGCAAAACUACUUAAAAUAAGAGAAAUUAGAAACCAAAAAGCAGCACAGCAUGAGUCUGGGCAUUGCAUGUUGGAUGAUCGAAACAGAGGUCUUGAGUGCGAAUCUAGAUCCUGAAAUACGCAGGCCUGCAAAAAGUCAUUCGAAGAAGUGUGCAAAACUCCCAUCAUUCAGCUUUCUUUCUGCUUCCCGCUCAGCAGGAUUACUAUGUACUGAGACAGAUAGGAAACUUAUCCCGGUGAGUUUUUAUUCCGGGAUGUCAAGGGCACAAUGCGCAGCUUAGUGAAUCUCCAUCAUCUUUGCCACAGGUGUAAGUUAUGAAGAUAGUUGCUAGAUGGAGGAUUUUCACACUAGUGAUUAAGCAUCUGUUUCAAGCCAGAAUCAUCAUUAAAUCACAGAUUUGCUUUACAAGCAAUAACUAGAGGGAUUUCAUAUUACAAGUAGAGUCUUUAUAACCUACUGAAUCGCUUAUUUGCGAAGACAGAAGAAAAGGAGAGCUCACGUUUUGUUUUUACUGCACAAAUACUGCAUAUGGAAUCUGAGUGAGAAGUUACUCCCUAAAAAUUUCAAAAGUGUUUUUGAGAGGUACCUUUGCGCGAAUCUUCUGGCAACAGACCCAAAGAAGUCAUCCAAUAAGUAGAAAUUCUUCUAUGGAAGGCCACACACAUUAAUAGCAGUUCUUUCAAGGCGAAUUAUGCCAAGCCAAUCAAGGAAUUGCUGCCAUGGCAUGUAGUUGUGGUUUCUUAAUGUGUUCGAGUAACUUCUGCACAAGGAAUCAAAUUAAUCUUUAAAUCCGUGAAAUUAAAAGGGAUGCAGAAUUACAAAACUAAUAAUAAGAACAAUAAUAAUAAGAUGGAUAGAAGCAUGACCUGCCAAUGCAUGAUUUCGGCAAGCCUUUGCUUUGGUUCACCACUUCCCAAUGUAGUAAGAAUUUCAACAGCAUCCCAGAAUUUCAAUAGCAUCCCAAUGAUAACUCAUACUUGAUGAGCCUUGAUGGAGAAAUGAAAGUCCAGUUAAAAUUAUUCAAAAUGCAUAUCCACUCGCCAAGAACAUAUGCACCCAGAAAUCUCCUUAAAUAAAUAAGGUUUUAACAAGGUGAAUGCUUUGCUUUUUCUUUUUUUGGGAAGAACUUCAAAGUAAACAAAGGUAAGACUGUUGGGUUUUGAUGUUUACCUUGUGUGGGAGAAAUAUGAUGUUUACCCAGAAAUCACAUUUUUGUUUUCAGAAUAAAUGGUUUUUUCCACCUCUGCAUUUGACAUUGAAAAAACUUGAAUAAAUACCAAAUAAUUAAGAAAUGCUGCUGAUUUAAUUUACAAAGGAAUGGUGCAUGUGAAGAGAAAUUGACAUAUGACAAUCACAUUCAGCACAAUCAAUUCUCAUCCUAAUUUAGAAGACUAAUCAAACUAACUGCAGCAAUAACAUCUUUUCCACGAAGUCUACUAACUUCUGCACAUAGAGUCAAAAUUAAUCCGUUAUAUCCAUGAAAAGAAUGAAGGCAGAAUUACAUUAAAAAAUGAAUAAAAAUGAUGGUUAAAAGAAUGACCUGCCAAUGCAUUUAAAAUCUCUUUGAAUUUGUUUCCCACAUCCCAAUUUAUUAGAAUUUCAGGUGAGUAAAAAAAGAAAAAAAUGAUUCCUCUAGCUUGAUGAGCCUGUAUAUGUGGGAAAAAAGUGUUAAAAUAUUAUCAUAAAGCAAACAAAUUCUCAAUUACACAAAAAAUAAAAGAAAGAAAAGGUACGCUGUAUAUUGAUCUUGAUUGUAAAGAAAUAAUGACAAAAGGAUACUUACAACUCAAAGGUAAUACACUGCUCAUUUUGGAAGAAACACAUCCAACACUUCAAAACUUAUCCUUCAUUGAUCUGUGUAAAUAGAAUCAUAGAGUGAAGAUUUUCUCAUGUAAGUUUAGUUUGCAAAUUGGAGAGAAAAAGGACCAACUUACCGAAGCUUCAUCAUCCAGUAGAUAGCGGCCCUCUCUUUGAAUUCUUUGGUUAUCAACUUCAAUAUUUGGGAUGUGAGAAAUGAAAGCCCAAUCCGCACCCUUUCUAUUUCCACAUCUUUCCUUCAAUUGGGGACAGUCAUCGAUAUCCAAUUCUCGUAACGAGGUGAGGGAACGCAUCUCUUGAGGCAGACACUUUAUUGCCGGACAAAUCUCAAUGGUUAGUCUUUGAAGACAAGUGAGAUUCCGCAGUCCAUCUGGAGGUAGAGAUUCGAGCUCUUUAAUGUCCCUAAUCCAAAGGUUCUUCAAUUUAGAGAGAGGAGGAAUGAUUGAGGAAGAAGAAGAGAUUGAUGGUGUGAAUAUUUGGUGCACAAGUUGUGGGCUUGCGUGCAGCAAAUGUAGUGAAUCAUCGAGAGAUGGAAACUGAGGGAUGGACUUCAAAUUAGGGCAGUCCUCACAAACGAAAUAUGAAAGACAAGGAAAUUGGAGUAGCUCAAGAGCUGUCGAAUCAUCCUCCUUCUUCUUCUGCCAUCCUUUAAGCUUAGGACAACCAUAUAGCACGAGAGUCUUUAGGGAUGGAAAGAAUGAUGUUGGUUGUCCCUCAAUCUCCAUGUAUUCUAAAUCAUCUACUCCCCAAAUCUCUAGAUAUUGAAGAGAAGGGAUUUGAUCCAUUGGUGGGAGAUGCUGAUAUCUCUUGCAAUUCCAUAUACAGAGAUAGACAAGAUUCGUGAGGGAAGAGAACCAACUUGGGAACCUCCUGCCUCCAUAGCCAAACACAAGUAACUCUUUAAGAUUGGGAUGUGGUUGGAGAUUUUGGAAUGCCAUUUCAUCUCUAUCAACAUUUGAAUCUUCCCAACUCUCCUCCCAACGUAGUUUCAAUGAUUGAAGGAGUGGCUUCUCUUUCAAAUUAACAUUUACAAUCUCAUCAUCCACACAUCCCAGAUUUCUAAUUUCAAGACGUCCCCUCAAAUUGUUAAGCUUAUUCAAUUCAUUUAUUUUUCCAACAUCCUUUGAGGAAAUAUGCCCUUUUCCCACUACGAACAGUGACAACGUCUGAAGUGAAGUCAACUGCCCAAGCCCACGUGGCAUAUGAGUCAAAGAGUUACAACCUUCACAAUAUAAAUGCCUAAGAUUCACAAGCUUUUUAAUAUCUUUAGGCAAUUCUUUGAGCUCGUCACAAUAAGAGACAUCUAAUACUUGUAAAUUCAGCAAAUCCGUAAUAGAAUUUGAAAGUGCUUUAAGUUUCUCGUUAUCGGAAACGUCAAGAUAUCUUAGAUAUUUUAGCAUUUUUAUAGAAUUAUCCAUUAUUCUAUAUGAAUGCAUAGUAAAUACACGCAAAAAUUUUAAAUUUUUAUAAAUAAAUAGCUGAUCGACAUUAUGUUCCUCAGACAAAAGAAUCGAUCGUACUCUUUUUGCAUUGUUAAGAAUUUCUUGUGGUGCAACAACUAAAUUCAAUGCUACAUGAUGGGUUUUCUCAUCAAUAUUUGGUGCAUCAGAAUUUACUAGCUGAAUCCUCUUUCCACCCACUGUGGUUGCGAGAUCGUGCAUUAAAUCAUGCAUUUUACAGCUUUCUACAUUUCCACAUCUAUCUCUUUCCACCUCUUGAAAAAAUGACCUCCACCACAGUUUCAUAAAAUAUUCAAGCCCAAUAUCUUCAAGACAAUCACUCGUACUUGGUGAUUCAAUAAACCCUUGUGCAAUCCAAAGAUGGAUUAAUGUUUUCACAUCAAUCACAUAAUCUUUUGGAUAUAUUGCGCAAUAUGCAAAACAAUGCUUCAAAUGUGAUGGGAGAUGAUCAUAACUUAGCUUCAGUGUUGGCAUAAUAUCAUUACCAUCUUGACUUAUUCUUGAGAGUUCUUUUGUUAAAAAGGGCAACCACUCAGUUUCUGGAUUUUUCGCAUACAAGAGACUUGCUAUAGUUUUUAUUGCAAGUGGAACUCCAUGACAUUUCUUCAAAAUCUCCUUUCCCAUCUCUCUUACAUUUGCAUGUUUUGGCUCCUGCCCCUUAAGUGCUACAUGCAAAAACAAAGACCAAGACUCAUCCAGAGACAACCCUUCCAAAACAUGUGGUGCUGUUGUGCCAGAUAUAUCUGCCACCUUUUUAGAGCGAGUGGUUAUUAAUAUCUUACUUCCACUAGAGCCACCCACUAAUAAUCUCUUUAAAUUCUGCCAUUUUUCUCUAUUCUCAUUCCACACAUCAUCUAGAACAAGCAGAUAUUUCUUCCCACUAAUAAUUUUUUCCAGUCUAGACUUCAAUGCUUCUAACCCAAGAUCUUCCGAUUUAUUCCCUGUUGCAGACUCUAGAAUCUUUCCAACAGUCAUUUUCACAUCAAAAGGUUCUGAAACACACACCCAUAUUCUUGGCUCAAAUGAAUUCUUAAUCAUUUCAUCAUUCAAUAUGAUUUGAGCAAGAGUGGUCUUCCCUAAUCCUCCAAUUCCAACAAUUGAGAGGACUGAAACACACUCUUCACCAUUGGAAGACAAUACAAGUUGUGUAAUUGCCUUUUUGUCACCCUCUCUCCCAAUAACCACUUCAGGUAAAGAGGACGUAGUUUGAUCCCUCCAUACAAUACUCUCCUGAUCAGUACGAACCUCUAAAUUAAAUUUUCUGUCAGCUUCAAUAUCAGCUAGCCUCUCCCUAAUCGCCUUAACUUUAUGACCCAUUUUAAAACCAUAAACAAGUUUAUUUGAAGACGAAAAGAAGAGACUUACCUCCUUUGUCAUUCUAUUUCCAGUCAUCACUCGGCGCCUUAGGGCUUCUGUGGCGAAGUCAUCUACCAAAUCAUCAGCAUCAUAAACCACUUCUUCUAGCCUCUCAAGCCAGCAUUUCACUUGACGGUUAAGUUUCUGCUGCUCCUCAGCAUCCAGAAGAACGUUGCGAAUACUAGAAACUGUGGCCUCAAGUUUCUUAAGCUCACCUUUGACGCCCCACCACAAUCCGAUCUCAUGAAGGGCUCGAGAACCCAGCUUGGUAAUGAUAUCUCCGACAACGUUAGAGAGAACUCCGUCGGNNNNNNNNNNNNNNNNNNNNNNNNNNNNNNNNNNNNNNNNNNNNNNNNNUUUAAAUAAAAAAAAAAAAAAAGAAGUGGAGGAAAAAGCGGUCCGUUAACUUUGGACGGCGCUGGUUUGCUUUAAUUUAAAAAGUAAAAUAUAUUAAUAAAUUUAUAUAUAGAAUGAAAGUUAGUUAUUUUUUAUAAAAUAAUUUUAUUUUUUAUUAAAUAAAUUUUAUGAGUGAUUUAAAUCGUUAAAAAAUAUAAAAUAUAUUUUUGAUGUUACUAAAAUUUUGUUAUUGAAAUGAAAGUAUUUUUAUAUAUUUUGUGAUGAUGUAUAAAGUUACAUUAGGUAUAAUAUGAUGUAUAGUAAAUUUAUUAUGAGUUUUAAUGACUUUAAAUCGAUUUAAAUUUUAAUAUUGAUAGCGGUUCAAUUUCUGAAUUAUUAUCGAAAUGUAUAGCAGGAGCUCAAGAGUAUCCUGUUGCAUAUUAUAGAUCCAUCGAUAUAAAAAAUAUGGCAUAUGCACACAUUCAGGAUUUAGAGAUUCCUUCAGCUAGUGGCAGAUAUUGUUUAAUUAAAAGAGAUGUCCACUUCUCUGAGGUUUUGAAGAUUGUGUCAGCAACAUUAUCCUACAUUGCACCUUCCAAAAAACUAUGGUUUUUUUUAUAUUUUUGCAUGCUCAUGUUGGACCAGCUAUAUGAAUGGCUAAGAUAUAUAAUUAUUUGGAUAACUGAGAAAUAGUUAUUUUGAAUGAUUAAUUUGAUCAUGGAAUAUAAUCUGAGUUGCAGAUGUGGCUCUGAAUUGAAUUACUUAACAAAGUAUGAGGUAUCAAAGAAAAAAGCGAAAACUUUGGAUAUUGAUUUCAUUCCUUUGGAGGUUAGUUGAAGGACACUAUUGAAAGCUUGAAGGAGAAGAGCCUCCUCAGCAUUUGAUUUUGGCUGUCGGAUAAAAAGCAAUGCAAAUAUUACAUUGGCCUUUCAGGUUCAUUGGCUUUAGCUUUCUAUUGGUGUAAGGUAUUAUUGCCCUUCAGAAUUGUCUUUAUUUAAAAAAAGUGAACCCAUACAAUUUGUAAAAUAUAUUAAAAUUUGUAUACAGCUGUAUAUAAACAUAUUACAUGUGUCGCUUGUUUCUGGUAGAUAAAGUUCAUUUCAGGUCUGAUUUCUGAGGAAGUUGCUCUUUUUUUUUAUCUGAUUUCAAGUCUCAUUCCAAAGAAGAAGACACAAGAAAAAGAAAAUGUGUAAUCCACCAAUUCAGAUUUAGUUCAGUCUUUUCAAAGUAUAUUCAGAUUUCAUAGCCAAUUCAUUUAAUGCUGUAUCUGAUUUCUGGUUCUUGUGAUACGCUCUUACAAAAUUCAUUUAAAAUUCAGUACUCUUACACAUUUUGGAAACACAAUUUAUACAAAAACUGAUUUCUCAGGAAAAAAAAGGAAAAUAAUGUUAUUUGCAUUGAAUGAACAAAUGAUUAGCAUAGUAGCAAAACUACUUAAAAUAAGAGAAAUUAGAAACCAAAAAGCAGCACAGCAUGAGUCUGGGCAUUGCAUGUUGGAUGAUCGAAACAGAGGUCUUGAGUGCGAAUCUAGAUCCUGAAAUACGCAGGCCUGCAAAAAGUCAUUCGAAGAAGUGUGCAAAACUCCCAUCAUUCAGCUUUCUUUCUGCUUCCCGCUCAGCAGGAUUACUAUGUACUGAGACAGAUAGGAAACUUAUCCCGGUGAGUUUUUAUUCCGGGAUGUCAAGGGCACAAUGCGCAGCUUAGUGAAUCUCCAUCAUCUUUGCCACAGGUGUAAGUUAUGAAGAUAGUUGCUAGAUGGAGGAUUUUCACACUAGUGAUUAAGCAUCUGUUUCAAGCCAGAAUCAUCAUUAAAUCACAGAUUUGCUUUACAAGCAAUAACUAGAGGGAUUUCAUAUUACAAGUAGAGUCUUUAUAACCUACUGAAUCGCUUAUUUACGAAGACAGAAGAAUAGGAGAGCUCACGUUUUGUUUUUACUGCACAAAUACUGCAUAUGGAAUCUGAGUGAGAAGUUACUCCCUAAAAAUUUCAAAAGUGUUUUUGAGAGGUACCUUUGAGCGAAUCUUCUGGCAACAGACUCAAAGAAGUCAUCCAAUAAGUAGAAAUUCUUCUAUGGAAGGCCACACACAUUAAUAGCAGUUCUUUCAAGGCGAAUUAUGCCAAGCCAAUCAAGGAAUUGCUGCCAUGGCAUGUAGUUGUGGUUUCUUAAUGUGUUCGAGUAACUUCUGCACAAGGAAUCAAAUUAAUCUUUAAAUCCGUGAAAUUAAAAGGGAUGCAGAAUUACAAAACUAAUAAUAAGAACAAUAAUAAUAAGAUGGAUAGAAGCAUGACCUGCCAAUGCAUGAUUUCGGCAAGCCUUUGCUUUGGUUCACCACUUCCCAAUGUAGUAAGAAUUUCAACAGCAUCCCAGAAUUUCAAUAGCAUCCCAAUGAUAACUCAUACUUGAUGAGCCUUGAUGGAGAAAUGAAAGUCCAGUUAAAAUUAUUCAAAAUGCAUAUCCACUCGCCAAGAACAUAUGCACCCAGAAAUCUCCUUAAAUAAAUAAGGUUUUAACAAGGUGAAUGCUUUGCUUUUUCUUUUUUUGGGAAGAACUUCAAAGUAAACAAAGGUAAGACUAUUGGGUUUUGAUGUUUACCUUGUGUGGGAGAAAUGUGAUGUUUACCCAGAAAUCACAUUUUGUUUUCAGAAUAAAUGGUUUUUUCCACCUCUGCAUUUGACAUUGAAAAAACUUGAAUAAAUACCAAAUAAUUAAGAUAUGCUGCUGAUUUAAUUUACAAAGGAAUGGCGCAUGUGAAGAGAAAUUGACAUAUGACAAUCACCUUCAGCACAAUCAAUUCUCAUCCUAAUUUAGAAGACUAAUCAAACUAAUUGCAGCAAUAACAUCUUUUCCACGAAGUCUACUAACUUCUGCACAUAGAGUCAAAAUUAAUCCGUUAUAUCCAUGAAAAGAAUGAAGGCAGAAUUACAUUAAAAAAUGAAUAAAAAUGACGGUUAAAAGAAAGACCUGCCAAUGCAUUUAAAAUCUCUUUGAAUUUGUUUCCCACAUCCCAAUUUAUUAGAAUUUCAGGUGAGUAAAAAACAAAUAAAUGAUUCCUCUAGCUUGAUGAGCCUGUACAUGUGGGAAAAAAGUGUUAAAAUAUUAUCAUAAAGCAAAUAAAUUCUCAAUUAUACAAAAAAUAAAAGAAAGAAAAGGUACUCUGUAUAUUGAUCUUGAUUGUAAAGAAAUAAUGACAAAAGGUACUCUGUAUAUUGAUCUUGAUUGUAAAGAAAUAAUGACAAAAGGAUACUUACGAACUCAAAGGUAAUACACUGCUCAUUUUGGAAGAAACACAUCCAACACUUCAAAACUUAUCCUUCAUUGAUCUGUGUAAAUAGAAUCAUAGAGUGAAGAUUUUCUCAUGUAAGUUUAAUUUGCAAAUUGGAGAGAAAAAGGACCAACUUACCGAAGCUUCAUCAUCCAGUAGAUAGCGGCCCUCUCUUUGAAUUCUUUGGUCAUCAACUUCAAUAUUUGGGAUGUGAGAAAUGAAAGCCCAAUCCGCACCCUUUCUAUUUCCACAUCUUUCCUUCAAUUGGGGACGGUCAUUGAUAUUCAAUUCUCGUAACGAGGUGAGGGAACGCAUCUCUUGAGGCAGACACUUUAUUGCCGGACAAAUCUGAAUGGUUAGUCUUUGAAGACAAGUGAGAUUCCACAGUCCAUCUGGAGGUAGAGAUUCCAGCUCUUCAAUGUCCGUAAUCUGAAGGAUCUUCAAUUUAGAGAGAGGAGGAAUGAUUGAGGAAGAAGAAGAGAUUGAUGGUGUGAAUAUUUGGUGCACAAGUUGUGGGCUUGCGCAGUGCAAAUAUAGUGAAUGAUCGAGAGAUGGAAACUGAGGGAUGGAGUUCAAAUUAGGGCAGUCCCUACAAACGAAAUACGAAAGACAAGGAAAUUGGAGUAGCUCAAGAGCUGUCGAAUCAUCCUUCUUCUUCUGCAAUCCUUUAAGCUUAGGACAACCAUAUAGCACGAGAACCCUUAGGGAUGGAAAGAAUGAUGUUGCUUGUCCCUCAAUCUCAAUGUACUCUAAAUCAUCUACUUCACGAAUAUGUAGAUAUUGAAGAGAAGGGAUUUGAUCCAUUGGUGGGAGAUGCUGAUAUCUAUUGCAAUUCCGUAUACAGAGAUAGACAAGAUUCGUGAGGGAAGAGAACCAACUUGGGAACCUCCUGCCUCCAUUGCCAAGCACACGUAACUCUUUAAGAUUGGGAUGCGGUUGGAGAUUUUGGAAUGCCAUUUCAUCUCUAUCAACAUUUGAAUCUUCCCAACUCUCCUCGCAACGUAAUUCCAAUGAUUGAAGGACUGGUUUCUCUUUCAUAUUAACAUUUACAAUCUCAUUAUCCACACAACCCAGAUUUAUAAUUUCAAGACGUCCCCUCAAAUUCUUAAGCUUAUUCAGUUCAUUUAUUUUUUCAACAUCCUUUGAGGAAAUAUGCCCUUUUGCCACUACGAACAGCGACAACGUCUGAAGUGAAGUCAACUGCCCAAGCCCACGUGGCAUAUGAGUCAAAGAGUAACAACCUUCACAAUAUAAAUGCCUAAGAUUUACAAGCUUUUUAAUAUCUUUAGGCAAUUCUUUGAGCUGGACACAGUAAGAGACAUCUAAUACUUGUAAAUUCAGCAAAUCGGUAAUAGAAUGUGAAAGUGCUUUAAGUCCCUUGUUAUCGGAACGUCAAGAUAUCUUAUAUAUUUUAGCAUUUUUAAAGAAUUAUCCAUCGUUGUAUAUGAAUGCAUCAUAAAUACACGUAAAAAUUUUAAAUUUUUAUAAAUAAAUAGUUGAUCGCAAUCAUAUUUCUCAAGCAAAAGAAGCGAUCGUACUCUUUUUGCGUUAUUAAGAAUUUCUUUUGAUGCAACAUCCAAAUUCAAUGCUACAUGAUGGAUUUUCUCAUUAAUAUUUAGUAUAUCAGAAUUUACUAGCUGAAUCCUCUUCCCACCCACUGUGGUUGCGAGAUCGUGCAUUAAAUCAUGCAUUUUACAGCUCUCUACAUUUCCAUAUCUAUCUCUUUCCACUUCUUGAAAAAAUGACCUCCACCACAGUUUCAUAAAAUAUUCAAGCCUAAUAUCUUCAAGAUAAUCACUCGUACUUGGUGACUCAAUAAACCCUUGUGCAAUCCAAAGAUGGAUUAAUCUUUUCACAUCAAUCACAUAAUCUUUUGGAUAUAUUGCGCAAUAUGCAAAACAAUGCUUCAAAUGUGAUGGGAGAUGAUCAUAACUUAGCUUCAGUGUUGGCAUAAUAUCAUUACCAUCUUGACUUAUUCUUGAGAGUUCUUUUGUUAAAAAGGGCAGCCACUCAGUUUCUGGAUUUUUCGCAUACAAGAGACUUGCGAUGGUUUUUAUUGCAAGAGGAACUCUAUGACAUUUCUUCAAAAUCUCCUUUCCCAUCUCUCUUACAUUUGCAUGUUUUGGCUCCUGCCCCUCAAGUGCUACAUGCAAAAACAAAGACCAAGACUCAUCCGGAGACAACCCUUCCAAAACAUGUGGUGCCAUUGUGCUAGAUAUAUCUGCCACCUUUUUAGAGCGAGUGGUUAUUAAUAUCUUACUUCCACUAGAGCCACCCACUAAUAAUCUCUUUAAAUUCUCCCAUUUUUCUCUAUUCUCAUUCCACACAUCAUCUAGAACAAGCAGAUAUUUCUUCCCACUAAUAAUUUUUUCCAGUCUAGACUUCAAUGCUUCUAACCCAAGAUCUUCCGGUCUAUUCCCUGUUGCAGACUCUAGAAUCUUUCCAACAGUCAUUUUCACAUCAAAAGGUUCUGAAACACACACCCAUAUUCUUGGCUCAAAUGAAUUCUUAAUCAAUUCAUCAUUGAAUAUGAUUUGAGCAAGAGUGGUCUUCCCUAAUCCUCCAAUUCCAACAAUUGAGAGGACUGAAACACACUCUUCACCAUUGGAAGACAAUACAAGUUCUGUAAUUGCCUUUUUGUCACCCUCUCUCCCAAUAACCACUUCAGGUAAAGAGGACGUAGUUUGAUCCCUCCAUACAAUACUCUCCUGAUCCGUACGAAACUCUAAAUUAAAUUUUCUGUCAGCUUCAAUAUCAGCUAGCCUCUCCCUAAUCUCCUUAACUUUAUGACCCAUUUUAAAACCAUAAACAAGUUGAUUUGAAGACGAAAAGAAGAGACUUACCUCCUUUGUCAUUCUAUUUCCAGUCAUCACUCGGCGCCUUAGAGCUUCUGUGGCGAAGUCAUCUACCAAGUCAUCAGCAUCAUAAACAACUUCUUCUAGCCUCUCAAGCCAGCCUUUCACUUGACGGUUAAGUUUCUGCUGCUCCUCAGCAUCCAGAAGAACGUUGCGAAUACUAGAAACUGUGGCCUCAAGUUUCUUAAGCUCACCUUUGACGCCCCACCACAAUCCGAUCUCAUGAAGGGCUCGAGAACCCAGCUUGGUAAUGAUAUCUCCGACAACGUUAGAGAGAACUCCGUCGGCCAUUUUGGGCGUUUUGGUUUGAUUGUAAAAGGAUGAAAUGUUGCUGUGAAGAAGAAGACGGUGACAACAAAUGACUGAUUUAAAGAAAAAAAAAGAAGUGGAGGAAAAAGCAUUCUUCUAAAUGAUUAUCUUCGGUCGGUCAACUUUGAACGGCGCUGGUUUGCUUUUUAAAUAAUAUAUUAAUACAUUUAUAUAUAUACAGAUGGAAAGAAAGUUAUUUUUUAAAAAAUAAUUUUAUUUUUUAUUAGAAAUGCAUUUUUUUUAAUUAAAUUUGAUGAGUGAUUCAAAUAUUAAAAAAUAUAAAAUAUAUAUAUACAGAUGGAAAGAAAGUUAUUUUUUAAAAAAUAAUUUAAUUUUUAAUAGAAAUGUAUUUUUUUUAAUUAAAUUUGAUGAGUGAUUCAAUUAUUAAAAAAUAUAAAAUAUAUUUUCGAUAUUGCUGAGAUUAAAUUGAUGUUGUAGUCGGAAUGAAACUGUACUAUAAUUGGUUAGAAUUUAUAAGAGAGGAAAUAUGAGAUAGUGGUGGGUACCUAUAGCAGCAAGGCAGUGAUGAGUACCUAUGACAGCUACUGUGACGCUAAAGUCAGUAUUUUGAAAAAUAGAAAAAAUUUAAUGAAUAACUUAGAGUUUGAGUAGUAUCAUAGAUAAUGUACCUUUAUCUUCGUAAUCGUUCUCCUUUUAUACUAUGAGAAAAUGUAUAUAAAUAUAUCAUGAAACAACAGGGCCUAAACUGGUCCAAAUAACUUUUGGACUCACUUUUCACUUGACCCAAAAUGGUUAAUUCAGGUUAUUUAGUAGUUUCGUGCUAGCUAUUAUAUACAAUUCCAAAAUCUCCCGAUGUGGGACAGCUUUCGCAGCGGAAGCGAACAGCUGACCAUUACACUCGAUCCCGCUAAAUUUGCGACGUCCUCGUCGCAGUUGAAUUGGAUACAAUUGCUAAUUAGGACCGAACCCUUAGGUAUUGUGGUUCGCUAGUACGUCGGGCGGCUCCACCUCGUCUCACACGGGUAGCUCUUUCCUUACAGGCUCACUAGCUCUACAUAAUUUGUUUGAUCUAGAGUGGCUCUAAUACCAAUUGAAACAGUCAGGUCCAAACUUGCUCAAAUAACUUUUGGACCCACUUUCUACUUUGCCCAAAAUAGUUAAUCUAAGUUAUUUAGUAGUUUUGUGCUACCUAUUAUAUACAAUUCCGAUUUUCUAUAAUCUCCCGGUGUGGGACGGCUUCCGCAGUGGAAGCAGGUAGCUGACCGUUGCACUUGGUCCCGCUAAAUUUGCGACGUCCUCGUCGCAACUGAAUCGGAUACAAUUGCUAACCAGGAUCGAACCCUUAGGUAUUGUAGUUCGCUAGUACCUCGAGCGGCUCCACCUCGUCUCACACGGGUAGCCCUUUCCUCGUAGGCCCACUAGCACAAUUUGUAUCUAGGGUGGCUCUAAUACCAAUUGAAACAGUCGGGUCCAAACUGGCCCAAAUAACUUUUGGACCCACUUUCCACUUGUCCCAAAAUGGUUAACUCAAGUUAUUUAAUAGUUUCGUGCUAACUAUUAUAUACAAUUUCGAUUUUCUAUAAUCUCCCAAUGUGGGACAGCUUCCGCAGCGGAAACAGGUAGCUGAUCGUUAUAAUCGGUCUCGCUAAAUUUGCGAUGUCCUCGUCGCAACUGAAUUUGAUACAAUUGCUAACCAAGACCGAACCUUUAGGUACUGUGGUUCGCUAGUACCUCUGGCGGCUCCACCUCAUCUAACACGGGUAGCUCUUUCCUCGCAGGCCCACUAGCUCUGCACAAUUUGUCUAACUCAGGGUGGCUCUGAUACCAAUUAAAAUAGUCGGGCCUAACCUGCCCCCAAAGGUUUGACUUUUGAAUCUGUGAGCGGACUUUAGGCCGUCGAACCUGCUGCCGAAAGUGCCCUGUCCAGCCUUUUUCAGCUUGCUUCCUACGUGUGUUCUUCUAUGUUCUUAGGGGGUAGUUUUAAGUGUUGUAAAAGUUAUAUUUGGUUCCUCAUUUAAGUCCAUCUGUGUAGGAUCGGACUUGGAAGAUCGUAGAAACUUGCAGUAAGAUAACUGUAUCAAAAUUAGGCGUGCGUCAGCCAGAGGUGAGUAGAACUAAACUCAAUUAUUAUUUUAAAAAAACCAAAUGUUUUAAGCAUACUUAUGCAUCACAAAUGCUAUGUAUAUAUAUGAUUAUGGUGCUUUGCAUUAGAAUUCACGAAUAUAAUGCAUUGCAUAAUUUAUUAUUGUUGUUGAUGUAUGUUAGAUGACCUUCUAGCCCUCAAGUAUGUUAUGGUAUGUUAUGACGGAUAUGGAAAGAGCAGGACUUGCUCAUUCUACGCCCUUGGCACUGUGUAAGGGAAAGACCAGGGUUACACAUUUUAUAUCCGUGGCACUAUGGAUAUGUUAUUUUAUGUUUAAGAGGAAAUUCUGAAAAGCGCUUGUCGUGGGCUGGGCACUAUUGGAAUCUAUAGAGAGUCACUGGUGACAAGUCUAUCUUGAUAUGAAUUGUUUGUGUUGUGACACAUUUAUACGAUCAUAUGUCUUAUUAAACUGCUUUUGUUAUGUUUCUGCUCACUAGCCUCUUAUAGUUUAUCCCUUUUCCCUAACUCCAGAUUUGCAGGAUCAGAAUUAGCUCGAGAGGUGGGCCGAGGUGUUGGUAUAGUCCAUUGUAAUAACAUAGUUGUGGACAUGUAUUAAUUUGUGAAUUUGAAUUGUGUUUUGCGUGAGUUUUCUUUAUAAUCCUUAUUUUAUGAUUUUUUUAUGUAAAAGAUUUUAAGUCUAAAUUAUGUUUGAACUAAGCUUGAGGUGUGUAAUAUUGACUAUACUAAAACAUUUGAUGAGAGCUCUAGUAUGAAUUUAUGUUUCCAGUUCUGAUACAUGCGCAGGUCAAGUUUUUGUUAUUGAAAUAGAAGUGUUUUUACAUGUUUGUGUGAUUAUGUAUGGAUCUAUAUCAAAUGUAACAGGAUGUAUAGUAAAUUUGCUAUGAGUUCCGGCAACCUUAGAUUGAUCUGAACCGUAGUGCCGAUAGCGGUCUGAGUUGCAGAUGUGGCUCCGAAUUGAAUUAUUUAACAAAGUAUGGGGUAUCAAAGGAAAAAAGUGAAAACUUUGGGUAUUGACUUCAUUCCUUUGGAGGUUAGUCUGAAGGACACUAUUGAAAGCUUGAAGGAUAAGGGCUUCCUCAGCAUUUAAUAUUGGCUGUUGGAUAAAAAGCAAUGCAAAUAUUACAUUGGCUUUUCAGGUUCAUUGGCUUUAGCUUCCUAUUGGUGCAAGAUAUUAUUACCCUUCAGGAUUGUCUUUAUUUGAAAAAAGUGGACCAAUACAAUUUGUAAAAUACAUAACAAUUUGUAUACAACUGUAUAUAAACAUAUUACAUGUGUCACUUGUUUCACUGGUGGAUGAAGUUCAUUUCAGGUCUGAUUUCUGAGGAAGUUACUCUUUUUUUUAUCUGAUUUCAGGUCUCAUUCCAAAGAAUAAGACACAAGAAAAAGAAAAUGUGUAAUCCACCAAUUCAGAUUUAGUUCAGUCUUUUCAAAGUAUAUUCAGAUUUCAUAGCCAACUCAUUUUAUGCUGUAUCUGAUUUCUGGUUCUUGUGAUAUGCUCUUACAAAAUUCAUCUAAAAUUCAGUGCUCUUACACAUUCUGGAAACAACAAUUUAUACAAAAACUGAUUUCUCAGGGAAAAAAAGGAAAAUAAUGUUAUUUGCAUUGAAUGAACAAAUGAUUAGCAUAGUAGCAAAACUACUUAAAAUAAGAGAAAUUAGAAACAAAAAAGCAGCACAGCAUGAGUCUGGGCAUUGCAUGUUGGAUGAUCGAAACAGAGGUGUUGAGUGAGAAUCUAGAUCCUGAAAUACGCGGGCCUGCAAAAAGUCAUUCGAAGAAGUGUGCAAAACUCCCAUCAUUCAGCUUUCAUUUCUGCUUCCGGCUUAGCAGGAUUACUAUGUACUGAGUUGUUUUCUGAACUGUGACAGAUAGGAAACUUAUCCCGGUGAGAUUUUAUUCCGGAAUGUCAAGGGCACAAUGCGUAGCUUAGUGAAUCUCCAUCAUCUUUGCCGCAGGUGUAAGUUAUGAAGAUAAUUGCUAGAUGGAGGAUUUUCACACUAGUAAUUUAGCAUCUGUUUCAAGCCAGAAUCAUCAUUAAAUCACAGAUUUGCUUUACAAGCAAUAACUAGGGGGAUUUCAUAUUACAAGUAGUCUUUAUAACUUACUGAAUCGCUUAUUUUUGAAGACAGAGGAUGAGGAGAGCUCACGUUUUGUUUUUACUGCACAAAUACUGCAUAUGGAAUCUGAGUGAGGAGUUACUCUCUAAAAAUUUCAAAAGUGUUUUUGAGAGGUACCUUUGCGUGAAUCUUCUGGCAACAGACUCAAAGUAGUCAUCCAAUAAGUAGAAAUUCUUCUAUGGAAGGCCACACACAUUAAUAGCAGUUCUUUCAAGGCGAAUUAUGCCAAGCCAAUCAAGGAAUUGCUGCCAUGGCAUGUAGUUGUGGUUUCUUAAUGUGUUCGAGUAACUUCUGCACAAGGAAUCAAAUUAAUCUUUAAAUCCGUGAAAUUAAAAGGGAUGCAGAAUUACAAAACUAAUAAUAAUAACAAUAAUAAUAAGAUGGAUAGAAGCAUGACCUGCCAAUGCAUGAUUUCGGCAAGCCUUUGCAUUGGUUCACCACUUCCCAAUGUAGUAAGAAUUUCAACAGCAUCCCAGAAUUUCAAUAGCAUCCCAAUGAUAACUCAUACUUGAUGAGCCUUGAUGGAGAAAUGAAAGUCCAGUUAAAAUUAUUCAAAAUGCAUAUCCACUCGCCAAGAACAUAUGCACCCAGAAAUCUCCUUAAAUAAAUAAGGUUUUAACAAGGUGAAUGCUUUGCUUUUUCUUUUUUUGGGAAGAACUUCAAAGUUAACAAAGGUAAGACUAUUGAGUUUUGAUGUUUACCUUGUGUGGGAGAAAUAUGAUGUUUACCCAGAAAUCACAUUUUGUUUUCAGAAUAAAUGGUUUUUUCCACCUCUGCAUUUGACAUUGAAAAAACUUAAAUAAAUACCAAACAAUUAAGAUAUGCUGCUGAUUUAAUUUACAAAGGAAUGGUGCAUGUGAAGAGAAAUUGACAUAUGACAAUCACCUUCAGCACAAUCAAUUCUCAUCCUAAUUUAGAAGACUAAUCAAACUAAUUGCAACAAUAACAUCUUCUCCACGACGUCUACUACCUUCCGCACAUAGAGUCAAAAUUAAUCCGUUAUAUCCAUGAAAAGAAUGAAGGCAGAAUUACAUUAAAAAAUGAAUAAAAAUGAUGGCUAAAAGAAAGACCUGCCAAUGCAUUUAAGAUCUCUUUGAAUUUGUUUCCCACAUCCCAAUUUAUUAGAAUUUCAGGUGACUAAAAAACAAAUAAAUGAUUCCUCUAGCUUGAUGAGCCUGCAUAUGUGGGAAAAAAGUGUUAAAAUAUUAUCAUAAAGCAAAUAAAUUCUCAAUUAUAAAAAAAAAAAUAAAAGAAAAAAAAAGGUACUCUGUAUAUUGAUAUUGAUUGUAAAGAAAUAAUGACAAAAGGAUACUUACGACUCAAAGGUAAUACACUGCUCAUUUUGGAAGAAACACAUCCAACACUUCAAAACUUAUCCUUCAUUGAUCUGUGUAAAUAGAAUCAUAGAGUGAAGAUUUUCUCAUGUAAGUUUAAUUUGCAAAUUGGAGAGAAAAAGGACCAACUUACCGAAGCUUCAUCAUCCAGUAGAUAGCGGCCCUCUCUUUGAAUUCUUUGGUCAUCAACUUCAAUAUUUGGGAUGUGAGAAAUGAAAGCCCAAUCCGCACCCUCUCUAUUUCCACAUCUUUCCUUCAAUUGGGGACAGUCAUUGAUAUUCAAUUCUCGUAACGAGGUGAGGGAACGCAUCUCUUGAGGCAGACACUUUAUUGCCGGACAAAUGUCAAUGGUUAGUCUUUGAAGACAAGCGAGAUUCCGCAGUCCAUCUGGAGGUAGAGAUUCGAGCUCUUAAAUAUUUUAACAUUUUUAUAGAAUUAUCCAUCGUUCUUCUAUAUGAAUAUAUAGUAAAUACACGCAAAAAUUUUAAAUUUUUAUAAAUAAAUAGCUGAUUGACAUCAUGUUUCUUAAACAAAAGAAUCGAUCGUACUCUUUUAGCAUUGUUAAGAAUUUCUUGUGGUGCAACAUCUAAAUUCAAUGCUACAUGAUGGGUUUUCUCAUCAAUAUUUGGUGUAUUAAAAUUUACUAGCUGAAUCCUCUUCUCAUCCACUCUAGUUGCGAGAUUGUGCAUUAAAUCAUGCAUUUUACAGCUUUCGACAUUUCCACAUCUAUCUCUUUUCACCUCUUGAAAAAAUGACCUCCACCACAGUUUCAUAAAAUAUUCAAGCCCAAUAUCUUCAAGACAAUCACUGGUACCUGGUGACUCAAUAAACCCUUGUGCAACCCAAAAAUGGAUUAAUGUUUUCACAUCAAUCACAUAAUCUUUUGGAUAUAUUGCGCAAUAUGCAAAACAAUGCUUCAAAUGUGAUGGGAGAUGAUCAUAGCUUAGUUUCAGUGUUGGCAUAAUAUCAUUACCAUCUUGACUUAUUCUUGAGAGUUCUUUUCUCAAAAAGGGCAGCCACUCAGUUUCUGGAUUUUUCGCAUACAAGAGACUUGCGAUAGUUUUUAUUGCAAGAGGAACUCCAUGACAUUUCUUCAGAAUCUCCUUUCCCUUCUCUCUUACAUUUGCAUGUUUUGGCUCCUGCCCCUCAAGUGCUACAUGCAAAAACAAAGACCAAGACUCCACCACAGAUAAGCCUUCCAAAACAUGUGGUGCUAUUGUGCCAGAUAUAUCUGCCACCUUUUUAGAGCGAGUGGUUAUUAAUAUCUUACUUCCACUAGAGCCACCCACUAAUAAUCUCUUUAAAUUCUGCCAUGUUUUUCUAUUCUCAUUCCACACAUCAUCUAGAACAAGCAGAUAUUUCUUCCCACAAAUAAUUUUUUCCAGUCUAGACUUCAAUGCUUCUAACUCAAGAUCUUCCGAUUUAUUCCCUGUUGCAGACUCUAGAAUCUUUCCAACAGUCAUUUUCACAUCAAAAGGUUCUGAAACACACACCCAUAUUCUUGGCUCAAAUGAAUUCUUAAUCAAUUCAUCAUUCAAUAUGAUUUGAGCAAGAGUGGUCUUCCCUAAUCCUCCAAUUCCAACAAUUGAGAGGACUGAAACACACUCUUCACCAUUGGAAGACAAUACAAGUUCUGUAAUUGCCUUUUUGUCACCCUCUCUCCCAAUAAUCACUUCAGGUAAAGAGGACGUAGUUUGAUCCCUCCAUACAAUACUCUCCUGAUCAGUACGAACCUCUAAAUUAAAUUUUCUGUCAGCUUCAAUAUCAGCUAGCCUCUCCCUAAUCGCCUUAACUUUAUGACCCAUUUUAAAACCAUAAACAAGUUGAUUUGAAGAUGAAAAGAAGAGACUUACCUCCUUUGUCAUUCUAUUUCCAGUCAUCACUCGGCGCCUUAGAGCUUCUGUGGCGAAGUCAUCUACCAAGUCAUCAGCAUCAUAAACAACUUCUUCUAGCCUCUCAAGCCAGCCUUUCACUUGACGGUUAAGUUUCUGCUGCUCCUCGGCAUCCAGAAGAACAUUGCGAAUACUAGAAACUGUGGCCUCAAGUUUCUUAAGCUCACCUUUGACGCCCCACCACAAUCCGAUCUCAUGAAGGGCUCGAGAACCCAGCUUGGUAAUGAUAUCUCCGACAACAUUAGAGAGAACUCCGUCGGCCAUUUUGGGUGUUUUGGUUUGAUUGUAAAAGCACGAAAUGUUGCUGUGAAGAAGAAGAUGGUGACAACAAAUGACUAAUUUAAAGAAAAAAAAAAGUGAAGGAAAAAGCAUUCUUCAUAAUUAUCUUCGGUCGGUCAGCUUUUGCGGGCGCUGGUUUGCUUUAAUUUAAAAAGUAAAAUAUAUUAAUAAAUUUAUAUAUAGAAUGAAAGUAAGUUAUUUUUUUUUAAAUAAUUUUAUUUUUUUUAUUAAAAAAAUAAUUUUUAUUAAAUAAAUUUUAUGAGUGAUUCAAAUAGUUAAAAAAUAUAAAAUAUGUUUUUGAUGUUACUGAAUUUUGGUUAUUGAAAGGAAAGUAUUUUUAUAUACUUGUGUGAUGAUGUGUAGAAUUAUAUUAGGUGUAACAUAACAUAUAAUAGAUUUGUUAUGAGUUUUAAGGAUUUUAAAUCGAUUUGAAUUCUAAUACUGUAGCGAUUCGAUUUCUGAAUCGUUACGGGAACAAUGAAUUGAUUUUAUUUUUUGGGUAGCAAAAGCUUAAGAGUAUUCUGUUGCAUAUUAUAGAUCCAUCGAUGUAAGAGAUGUUGCUUAUGCAUACAUUCAAGCUUUGGAGAUUCCUUCAGCUAGUGGCAGAUAUUGUUUCAUUAAAAGAGAUGUCCACUUCUCUGAGGUUCUGAAGAUUGUGUCAGCAACAUUAUCCUACAUUGCACCUUCCAAAAAAGUAUGGUUUUUUUUUUAUAUAUUUUUGCAUGCUCAUGUUGGACCAGCUAUAUAAAUGACUAAGAUUUAUAAUUAUUUGGAUAAUUGAGAAAUAGUUGUUUUGAAUGAUUAAUUUGAUCAUGGAAUAUAAUAUGAGUUGCAGAUGUGGCUCUGGAUUGAAUUACUUAACAAAGUAUGAGGUAUCAAAGGAAAAAGCGAAAACUUUGGAUAUUGACUUCAUUCCUUUGGAGGUUAGUUUCAAGGACACUAUUGAAAGCUUGAAAGAGAAGGGUUUCCUCAGCAUUUGAUUUUGGCUGUUGGAUAAAAAGCAAUGCAAAUAUUACAUUGGCCUUUCAGGUUCAUUGGUUUUAGCUUCCUAUUGGUGCAAGAUAUUAUUGCCCUUCAGGAUUGUCUUUAUUUGAAAAGAGUGGACCAAUACAAUUUAUAAAAUAUAUAACAAUUUGUACAGAACUGUGUAUAAACAUUUUACAUGUGUCACUUGUUUCACUGGUAGAUGAAGUUCAUUUCAGGUCUGAUUUAUGAGGAAGUUACAAUUUUUUUUUUUUUAUCUGAUUCCAUGUCUCAUUCCAAAGAAUAAGACACAAGAAAAAGAAAAUAUAUAAUCCACCAAUUCUGAUUUCGUUCAGUCUUUUUAAAGUAUAUUCAGAUUUCAUAGCCAAUUCAUUUUAUGUUGUAUCUGAUUCAGGGUAUUAAAUAACGGCCGUUACGUAACGUAACGGCCGUUAUGUAACGGUAUCAAGGGGGGUCGUUACCCGUUAGGCCGUUACCCAACGGCCCCCUUGAAUUGCAUCCGUUACGGCCGUUACGUAACGGUAACGGCCGUUACCGACAGUGAUGUAACGGUAACGGCCGUUACUUUAUCCCAACACAAACUUCAGAUUACAGAGAAUAUAUUCAAAAACCAGCUAUGCAUUGAAUUUGACCACUUUUGUCCCUCUUCUCCAGCAAGCACAGCAGACAACCUCAUUUUGCAACUAAAAUUUCCAACUUUCUUUUCCUUUUCUCUCAAAUAUCUCAAUCUCAAGCUUCUCUAAACAUUUCUCAUUUACAAUUACAAGCUUCAAUCUACCAUUAACUACUUCAUUUCAAGAUAAUUUCUUUUAAAAAGUGACUUAAUAUUUCUAUGUAUUUUUACUUUCAAAGUUGCUGUAUUUUUUUUUUUAAUUUUUGUAGAUUAAAUUUGUAGUUUUGAGUUAAAAAUAUAUUUUGAGCUAUUAAUUUGUCCGAUCUAUAAAAAUUGUAUGGUUUUUGUUAGUUUAGACUAUUUUUCAGAAAUCAUUAUGAAAUUAAACUAAUUUUAGUUGCUGUAUUUUUUUUGUUUCAUUUUUGUGGAUUAAAGUGUUAGAUUUGAGUUAAAUUAAUAGUGUAUUUUUACUUUCAGAAUUUUAGAGGAAUCAGAGCUGCUGUAUUUUUUUUUUUAACUUUUGUAGAUUAAAUUUGUAGUUUUGAGUUAAAAAUAUACUUUGAGGCUAUUAAUUUGUUAGAUCUAUAAAUUGUAUGGUUUUUGUUAGUUUAGUUUAGACUAUUUUUCAGAAAUUAUUAUGAAAUUAAAUUAUUUUUAGUUGCUGUAUUUAUUUUUUUUUAAUUUUUGUGGAUUAAAGUGUUAGUUUUGAGUUAAAUUAAUAGUGAUAGAAUAAGACUUGUAGUUUGACAAUUAAAAUUUCAUAUUUAUAUAAUUUGUGUUAAAUAGAAAUUAAUAUAUGUAGUUAGGUUAAAAUUAAAAUAUUAGUUAUGAAAAAAAUAUUCGCCUUCCAUGUAUUUGACAUUUGAUAUCUUUUAAAUUUUAUGAACAAUUAUUAAAUAUUUGUAUUAAAAUGCCUCAUGGAAGUGGUUCUGGUUCUACUCAAGGGGUGGUAAACUAAGUGAUGAUAUUGGGUGGAAGUUUGCAACACCUACAGGGAAAAAAAGGAGAACUGAUUUGUAAUUUAUGUGGGAGAAAAGUCACAGAUGGAAUAACAAGAUUGAAGUUGCACUUGGCUAACAUACCUGGUCAAAUUGCAGGUUGUGAGAAAGUUUCUUCCAAAGUUAAGAAGGAUAUGGCCGCUGUCCUGAAAGAAUACCAAUUAGCUAAAAAGGAUAAAGAAAAAAGAGAAAGAGAAUUAGAAGAAGAAAUUAUGAAUAUAAAUAGAAUCGAAGAUGAUGAAGAGGAGGAGGAGGAAGAGGAUAUCGAAAUGGAAAUAGCGAGACGGGCGAGCAUGAGACAGUUGGAAGAAGAUGAAUUUAAAAGGAGAACUGGAUCUAGAUUUGAUGUUGGUGGUAGUAGCAGACAAGUGUUGGGUCGUUCUGCUACUACACGUGAGGGAGGUAGAGAAACACAAAAAUAUGCAGAAGUAUCUACACCGGCAUCUCGGUUGGCUGCCACAGAAAUUGAGAUAGAGAGAAGCAGAGCUCAACAAAAGCAGCCAAAAUAAAAAACUAAAUGGUUGAAGACACAGAAGGAGAAAAUGUUGUAAGCAUUUGGAAAUUUUAUUAUACAUAAUAGGCUUUCCUUCAGUAUUGUUGAGUCACCGUGAACAAAGCCACUUUUAAGAACAGCAGCAGAAAUCGGGGCUAAUGUAUCUCCACCUACUGCUUAUGAAAUAGCAAAAAUUUAUCUAAAAAAUGAGUACAAUGAGAUGAAAAAAUAUAUAGCCUCAUUUGAUGGAAUAUGGAAGGAGAGGGGAGUUACUAUAAUGUGUGAUGGUUAGAGUGGGCCAACACGUAUGAGUAUAGUAAAUUUCCAUGUCUAUUCAAACAGAGGAACAGUGUUCCACAAGUCUAUUGAUGCAUCCAAUGUGGAAUAUAAAGAUGGAGAACACUAUUUUAAAAUUAUGAAAGAAGUAGUGGAAGAAAUAGGGCCUAAAAAAGUUGUCCAAGUGGUAAUGGACAACGAAGCUGCCAUUAAAUUAGGAGGGAAGAAACUGAAGGAGAAAUUCCCUAAUCUAUAUUGGACUGCUUAUAGUGCUCAUUGUAUUGAUUUGAUUUUGGAAGAUAUUGGAAAGAAGAAGAGUGUGAAAAAAAUAAUUGACCAAGCCAAGGUAAUUACUCAAUUUAUUUAUAAUCAUAAUUGGGUAGUCAAUUAUAUGAAGAAAUUCACGGACAAUAGAGAUAUUAUUCGACCUGGCAUCACUAGAUUUGCCACAAACUUUAUUGCUUUAGAGUCUAUUGUCCGUUAUAGGGUGAGGCUAAGGAAUAUGUUCGAAUCGGAGCAAUGGAUGAUGAGUAAAUAUGGACAAGCAACAAGUGGUCCAGCGCAUGAAGUCAAGAAAAUUGUGCUUGGCUUAGGCAGCGAAGGAAGAAACUUUUGGGAGAAGGCACAACAAAUAAUGAAAGUUCAAGAACCUCUCUUGAAGGUUUUAAGAUUAUUUGGUGGGGAUGACAAGCUAACAAUGAGAUUUAUAUAUGAGGCAAUGGAGCGAGCGAAGUUGGCUAUUCAAAAAAAUUCUAGAAGCUAUUUGGAAUAUUGGAGAAUAAUUGAUCAUAGAUAAAAUUUUCAAUUGCAUCAUGACUUACAUGCCGCUGGUAAGAACAUUGUAUUAUAAUUUGAUAGUUUAGAAAAUUAAAUUGUUAAAUUAAGAGAUAACUUAUUAUCUAUCUUCAUAUUUUAUUUUGCAGGAUAUUUUCUAAAUCCUUAAUAUCAAUAUGGCCCAUAUGAUAUUGGAAAUGAUAAUGAGAUCGUCUCAAAAAUGUGAUUCAACAUCUAGAGGGGGAUUUAGUAAAUCAAGGAAAAACAUUAAAUAAAGUAAGUAACAACUAACAAGCUAAUUCUUAAUUGUUACUAUGUUAGUGUAGUUGAAGGCUUGAAGCUUGAAUUGUUGCUUUUGAACUUGAAGUUAACUUACUGGAAUUUGGAACAUGUAGACCCUACUUUUUCGGGACAAAAUAGAGAGUUUUGGAACAGUUUUGGCACAAAAGGCAAUUAAGUUCACUAAUCCAGGUACUAAGUUUAUAAAAUAAGUAUAAAUUAUUUUUGUUCAUUCAUUUAUAUACAGCUAAGUUCAUUAAAAUAAUAAAAACUUAAAAUAUUUUACAGCUGAGUGGUGGAUUAAUUAUAGAGAAAGUGCUCCUGAGUUGAGAAAAAUCGCUAUUAAAAUACUGAGCCAAACAACUUCAGCUUCAAACUGCGAGAGAAAUUGGAGCACAUUUUCUCACAUUCACACAAAGACAAGAAACAGAUUGAAGUAUAAAAAAUUACAUGCACUUGUCUUUGUGCACUACAACAUGAGGCUGAAAAUCAGAAAUGUGAUAAGAAAAAGCCAACAGGAGUUAGACAGGAGCUACGAUCCAAUUAAUUUGGAUUAUAUUUUUAAAGAAGAUGAUCCGUUAAACUCUUGGUUGGAGGAAAGAGAAUCUCCAUUGUUUGAUGGGCAACCAAUGUAACAGCCCGAAAACCGGUACCCCUUUGUAACGGCUCCAAACUGCUCGGCGCUAGGAUCCAGAUCGGCUUAAGGCCGCGGGACCCGUAGCAAGCCUGCUAAACUCUCUAAACAUCUGGUAUAAUCCCAUACAUGAUCAACCUAUUACUUUUCAGGCUUAACCUGAGCAAGAUCUGUAACUGAAAACUUGUCUUUUCUCUUUACCAAGCUUAACUCGUGCAUGCACUUACUACUAACUUAACCCCACUCUGGAGUCUACAAGGGCUGCUCCAAUGGAGUAACAUCUCAUUCAUUAAGCUUGGUUACCAUGAAAACGUCUUGAAAACAUUUCAAGCAAAAUGAAAACAUUUAUCUUAAAAAACUCAUGAUCAUGUACCACAUGAAGGGAUUAACCAACACUAGGCAAAGCACAUCUCUAAACCUUAUCUCAUAUACCUUUCUUAACUUUACUCUAUCACUUUACCACAUAUUCUUUCCAUUCAUAACCUUUAUAUACAUCAUGUCCUUACAUCAUGUCCACAACUGCACUAUAUAAGCAUAUAAAACAUAACAUCACUUAAUCUUUAUAUCAAUCUUGCAUAACAUAUACAUGCCACUCAAACAACACUAAGCUAUACUAUUACAUCCAAAACACUAGCCACAACAUAACUCUUGACUCUGCCACCUCUGACUUCCCAUAGCUCACUCUGAUCAAACUCUGGCCCUGCAACACUGGGGUUAAGGGAAAGGGAUGAGCUACUAGAGCCCAGUGAGUAGAAACCAUAAAACAGUUCAUUCAUUCAUUACAUGCUCUCGUGCAAUGCGUCACAGCACAAACAUAUCAUAUCUCGGAUUAGACAUGACCCCAGACACUACAAAAAUCUGUUGGAAUAGUAACGGAUAUUAGUAACGGAUUUAAAUCCGUUAUAAUUUUAUAACGGAUUAGUAACGAAUUUUAUAUUCUGUUACUAAUUUUUAUUAUUUAGUAACGGAUUGACAAUCCAUUACUAAAUCUGUUACUUAAUAAAAUUAUUUAUAAAUUUAAUAACGGAUUUUGAGAUCCGUUAUAAAUCUAUUACUAAAUUAGCUAAAAGUUAGUAACGGAUCUCAAUCCGUUAAUAAAUUUGUUACUAAAUCGGUUACUAAAUAAAUAAAUUAAAUAAAUAAAAUAGUAACGGAUUUAAUAACGGAAUGUUGUAACGGAUUUAAUCUGUUACUAUUUUUUUAAUAAAAAAAUUAAUUUUUUAUUUUUUAAAAUUUCAAAUUUUCUUUUUAAGUUAGUAACGGAUAUAAUCUGUCACUAAAUCCGUUACUGAUACGAAAAUUAGUAACAAAUUCUAUAAUCCGUUACUAAAUUUUAGAAAAUAAAAUACCGCGCUUUUAUUUUAAAUUCCUGCAUUUUUAUUUCUAAUUUAGUAACGGAAAAAAUCUGUUACUGAGUUCAUUACUAAUUUAAAAUUAGUAACGGAUUAAGAAAUCCGUUACUAAAAUUUGAAGAAUAAUACCGCCUUUUUAUUUUAGUUCGCCCGCAUUUUUUUUUUAAAUUUAGUAACGGAUUUAAUCCGUUACUAAAUCCGUUACUAAUUCGCGUAUUUAUACACUCACCCAUUUUAUCUCCCUUCACUUAUUCAUUUUCUUUCUCCCCAUUUUAUUUCCCUUCAUUUCAUUCAUCUUCUUUCUCCUCUUCUCUCAUCAUUUCUUCAUUUCUCCCUUAUCUUAUUUUUUUCUUAAUUAUUAACUCCAUUUUUUUUUCAUUUUCUUUCAUUUCCUUCAAUUUUCUCUUUAAUUUUCUUUCAUUUCCUUCAAUUUUCUCUUCAAUAUUCUUUCAUUAUUGAUCUUCCUUUUAUCACUUGAUUUUUGUUUUAUUUUCUCUCAUAUUUUUUCUUUCAUUUUUUUCUAUUUUCUUUCAUUUUCUUCUAUUUUCUUUCAUUUUCUCUUCCACUUUCUAUCAUUUUCCCUUCCUUUUUCUUUCAUUAUUCAUUCAUUUAUUUUCUUUUCUCUCAUAUAUAUACUCUAACCUUUUUUUUACAUUCUUUUGUAUAUCUUCAUUUUCUCUUUAUUUUUCUUCAUUUUUUCUUCAUCUUUCUCUCAUUUUCUUUCUUUUUUCUAUUUUUUCUUCCUUUUUUCUCAUUUUCUUUAAUUUUCCCUUUUUUCUUAUUUGCUCUUCAUUUUUAUCAUUAUUUUCUUUUAUUUUCUUUCUUUUGUUAUUUUCUCUUUUAUAUCUCAUUUUUUUUUCUAUUCUCUCACAUUUUUUCUUUUUUAAAUUUUCUCAUGUAAUUUUAUAAUAAUUUUCUCAUAAAAUUAAUAAAAUUUAAAAUAUUAAAGUUAAUAUUUAAUAUAAAAUACAAUGAAAAAAUUAAUAGUUUACCAUAAUUAAAUUAUUAUCUAAUGUAAAAUAUAAUGAAAUAAAUUAAUUCCAUUUAAAAAAAAUGAAAUAAAUUAAUAAUUUAAUAUAAUUUUUAAAAUAUUUUUUAAAAUUAACAAUAGAUUUAAUAACGAAAUAUAAAUUUAAUAUAUUUUUUUUAUUUUUUAUUUUAUCAAAUUAGUAACGGAUUAGUAACGGAUUUCUAUCCGUUACUAAAUUUAGUAACGGAUGCAAUUUAUUUAUAUAUUUUUAAUUUUUAUUAAAUUAGUAACGGAUUUGAAAUCCGUUACUAAAUUUCAUUACAAAUCCGUUACUAAAUUCGUUACUAAAUUAGUAACAGAUUGCUAAUCGGUUACUAUUGCAUUAGCAACGAGGUUCAUAGUAACGGAUGUAAAUACGUUACUAAUCUGUUACUAAACUGGUUAGUAACGGAUUUUUCAUUGAUUAGUAACGGAAAAAUCCGUUACUAAUCCGGAAAAAUCUUAUAGUGAGAACUCCCUCUGUCGGUGACCGGCCCCUAAGGAACAUCUCGGUCACUACAUGUACUAGAGCCCGGCCCCUACUACGGAGCUCCCAAAGGUCUUAUCUAGACAUAACAGGUCGCGGGCUACUGGGAUCGCCUUGGUCCAUCCCAUCAACAGUAAAAUAGUGCAAUGCAACAUAGUCGUGAUCUCUAAUGCAAUACAACCUGGUAUCACAUGGCAUUCAUGAUGCGUGUCUCAUGCUCAUACUGUCAUUUCCUUUAAAUAUUAACUUUAAAACAUGCAUAGUUAGUUCUACUCACCUGAAGCCUCUGCUCAGCUAACUCUGGGCCUACUCUAACACUGGAGCUAAACACCUCGCCUCAGGUCCGAUCCUACACAGGUGGUCUCACAUGAGGUGCCAAACAACUCUAAAACAUCUCCCCAAAACCCCUCUAAAGCAUCAUAAGCAUGCAUGGAAAAACAUGCAAAGGAAGGCAAAACAGGGCACCUUCGGCGGCACUUUCGGCGGCCGAAAGUCUCCUCCAGAGACGAAACUCGGGUAGGUUCGGCGGCACCUUCGGCGGCCGAAUGUGCAUGACAGAUCCGAAAGUCCAACUUCCGGAGGCAAGGUUAGGCAGCCGAAACCACCUCCUCAAGGGUUCGGCGGCCGAAACUCCUUUCGGCGGCCGAACCUGAGUUCCUCUAGAACUCAAAUUCAUGCACCAACACACCUCCCUAAGCCUUCCUAACUCUCUUAACAUGCAUACAACCUCUUAAAACCAUGCAUAAACCUCUAAACAUGCAUAAAGGAGCCUAAAACAACCUUAAACUCUAACACUUAACAACAUAUAACACAUAAACACAUACAUAGGCAUAAAGGGCUAUAAAACCCUCCCAUGCAAAACCAUGCAACACAUGCUUCAAAACCCCCAAAACUCUCCAUAAAACUUGCUUAAAACAUCAUAAAACAUAAGGAUCAACACUUACCUCUUGAAGAACUAGAGUUGGUGUGAUCCUAGCUUCAAAACGUGGAGAUACCAAGCUUCUAAAGCUUCAAACUCCAAAACCUUGCUCAAAGCUCACAACUCUUCAAAACAAGGAUAAAAGUCAUGAAAACCUUGAAAGAACUUGUAAAAAACCAUGAAAUCAUACCAAGGAGGACAUGAGCUCACCUUGGGUGGGAAGAGGAAGAAAACUCACCUCUUGAACCGACCUAAGUGGCUUAUAUAGGUGGCUUGGUCAACCACUUUCGGCAGCCAAACAUGCAGGCAAAACCUUCCUACGUUCAGAAGCCGAACAUGGCUUUCGGAAGCCAAAACCAUGCAACCUUCGGCGGCCGAACUUUACCUUCGGCGGCCGAACCUGCAUUUUGCCUCCUUGACCUUUUCUCUCAAAACUCAAAACCUUUUAACUUAAAACCAUCAAAACCCUUAAAACCUUUUUGAAAACCUUUUAGAAAACCUUUAUUUUACCCUUGCUUAACCCUUGACAAAGGGUCCGACAUCCGAGAUUCCACCGGACGGUAGGAAUUCCGAUGCCUGAACGAGCCGGGUAUUACAACCAAAUCCAUGGUUAGAUGAUGAAGAGGCGGGUAAUGCUCCAUCACAGUCUGAAUCUGCCACUCAAACUCAAGGACAACAAGGUGCUGCUGGUGAUGAUGAUUCUUUUAUUUUAUCCAGCUCUAGUAGUGAUGAUGAUGGUGGUGGUGGUGAUCAAGGUGGAGGAGGAACCACAGUUGAAGGAGGUGGUAGUCGUAGUUCACAAGAUCCACCUAGUCAAAGACAAAGUGGAAUUAGAAUUGCUUCUGAACCAUCUCCGAUGCGUACAUAUCAAAGAUCACAAGGCUCUCAUAGUUCUGGUACUGGUGGUGCUGAAACAUCCCAAACAAGAGGUAAGGAUGUUGCAUAUGAGGAGGAGGGGUCAAUUGAUUCAUUAAAUUAUGAAUACAAUGCUGGCACAUAUAAUCCAAAUUUUAUGUAUGGUGGUGGACGUGGACCUGGUGGUAGCUCAUCAUCUGAAGAUACUUCAUCAAAUUAUGGGUUCCAUGGCCAAUUUAGAGGGGUGCCAUAUCCAACAAAUUAUCCUCCUGCAUAUUCAUAUUACCCCUUAUCAAGAGCAGAGUCAGCUUUAUCAUACCCUCAACCAACUUAUGGUGAUCCUAAUGAUAUUAUGGGUGGUGGUUCUUUAUUUAGUUUUGAUCCACAAUAAUACUAUCAACAUCAGCAGCAUCACCUUAAUGAUCAAAGCUCAGAGAGCCAAAGUCAAGACCAACAAGAACCUGCACAAUGUUCUUUUUGGUGGUAGUGAGGUUGGUAAUUUCCUAUUUGGUAUUUAAUUUAAGCUAAAUAGUAUACAUUUGAUAUAUUUAUGUUUAUUAUAUAUUUGUAUAUAUUGUUCUGAAUUAAAUCUAUUGAUAUCAUAUCAUUUUAUGAACUUUGCAAAUUGAUUUGAAAAAUUUGCGUAGCGCCAGGCCGUUACCAUUAUGUUACGGCUGUUACAGACCUAUUUCCGUUACCCGCGACCGCGGCCGCGAUCACCAUUUAAAACCAUGAUCUGAUUUCUGGUUCUUGUUAUAUGCUCUUACAAAAUUCAUCUAAAAUUCAGUGCUCUUACACAUUCUAGAAACACAAUUUAUACAAAAACUGAUUCUCAGGAAAAAAGGGAAAAUAAUGUUAUUUGCAUUGAAUGAACAAAUGAUUAGCUUAGUAGCAAAACUACUUAAAAUCAGAGAAAUUAGAAAUAAAAAAGCAGCACAACAUGAGUCUGGGCAUUGCAUGUUGCAUGAUCGAAACAGAGGUCUUGAGCGAGAAUCUAGAUCCUGAAAUACGCAGGCCUGCAAAAAGUCAUUCGAAGAAGUGUGCAAAACUCCCAUCAUUAAGCUUUCAUUUCUGCUUCCCGCUCAGCAGGAUUACUAUGUACUGAGUUGUUUUCUGAACUGUGACAGAUAGGAAACUUGUCCCGGUGAGUUUUUAUUCCGGGAUGUCAAGGGCACAAUGCGCAGCUUAGUGAAUCUCCAUCAUCUUUGCCACAGGUGUAAGUUAUGAAGAUAGUUGCUAGAUGGAGGAUUUUCACACUAGUGAUUUAGCAUCUGUUUCAAGCCAGAAUCAUCAUUAAAUCACAGAUUUGCUUUACAAGCAAUAACUAGGGGGAUUUCAUAUUACAAGUAGAGUCUUUAUAACCUACUGAAUCGCUUAUUUGCGAAGACAGAAGAAAAGGAGAGCUCACGUUUUGUUUUUACUGCACAAAUACUGCAUAUGGAAUCUGAGUGAGAAGUUACUCCCUAAAAAUUUCAAAAGUGUUUUUGAGAGGUACCUUUGCGCGAAUCUUCUGGCAACAGACUCAAAGAAGUCAUCCAAUAAGUAGAAAUUCAUCUAUGGAAGGCCACACACAUGAAUAGCAGUUCUUUCAAGGCGAAUUAUGCCAAGCCAAUCAAGGAAUUGCUGCCAUGGCAUGUAGUUGUGUUUUCUUAAAGUGUUCGAGUAACUUCUGCACAAGGAAUCAAAUUAAUCUUUAAAUCCGUGAAAUUAAAAAGGAUGCAGAAUUACAAAACUAAUAAUAAGAACAAUAAUAAUAAGAUGGAUAGAAGCAUGACCAGCCAAUGCAUGAUUUCGGCAAGCCUUUGCUUUGGUUCACCACUUCCCAAUGUAGUAAGAAUUUCAACAGCAUCCCAGAAUUUCAAUAGCAUCCCAAUGAUAACUCAUACUUAAUGAGCCUUGAUGGAGAAAUGAAAGUCCAGUUAAAAUUAUUCAAAAUGCAUAUCCACUCGCCAAGAACAUAUGCACCCAGAAAUCUCCUUAAAUAAAUAAGGUUUUAACAAGGUGAAUGCUUUGCUUUUUUCUUUUUUUUUGGGAAGAACUUCAAAGUAAACAAAGGUAAGACUAUUGGGUUUCGAUGUUUACCUUGUGUGGGAGAAAUAUAAUGUUUACACAGAAAUCACAUUUUGUUUUCAGAAUAAAUGGAUUUUUCCACCUCUGCAUUUGACAUUGAAAAAACUUGAAUAAAUACCAAAUAAUUAAGAAAUGCUGCUGAUUUAAUUUACAAAGGAAUGGUGCCUGUGAAGAGAAAUUGACAUAUGGCAAUCACCUUCAGCACAAUCAAUUCUCAUCCUAAGUUAGAAGACUAAUCAAACUAAUUGCAGCAAUAACAUCUUUUCCACGACGUCUACUAACUUCUGCACAUAGAGUCAAAAUUAAUCCGUUAUAUCCAUGAAAAGAAUGAAGGCAGAAUUACAUUAAAAAAUGAAUAAAAAUGAUGGUUAAAAGAAUGACCUGCCAAUGCAUUUAAAAUCUCUUUGAAUUUGUUUCCCACAUCCCAAUUUAUUAGAAUUUCAGGUGAGUAAAAAAGAAAUAAAUGAUUCCUCUAGCUCGAUGAGCCUGUACAUGUGGGAAAAAAGUGUUAAAAUAUUAUCAUAAAGCAAAUAAAUUCUCAAUUAUAAAAAAAAAAAAUAAAAGAAAAAAAAGGUACUCUGUAUAUUGAUCUUGAUUGUAAAGAAAUAAUGACAAAAGGAUACUUACGAACUCAAAGGUAAUACACUGCUCAUUUUGGAAGAAACACAUCCAACACUUCAAAACUUAUCCUUCAUUGAUCUGUGUAAAUAGAAUCAUAGAGUGAAGAUUUUCUCAUGUAAGUUUAAUUUGCAAAUUGGACAGAAAAAGGACCAACUUACCGAAGCUUCAUCAUCCAGUAGAUAGCGGCCCUCUCUUUGAAUUCUUUGGUCAUCAACUUCAAUAUUUGGGAUGUGAGAAAUGAAAGCCCAAUCCGCACCCUUUCUAUUUCCACAUGUUUCCUUCAAUUGGGGACAGUCAUUGAUAUUCAAUUCUCGUAACGAGGUGAGGGAACGCAUCUCUUGAGGCAGACACUUUAUUGCCGGACAAUACACAAUGGUUAGAUUUUGAAGACAAGUGAGAUUCCGCAGUCCAUCUGGAGGUAGAGAUUCGAGCUCUUUAAUGUCCAUAAUGCAAAGGUUCUUCAAUUUAGAGAGAGGAGGAAUGAUUGAGGAAGAAGAAGAGAUUGAUGGUGUGAAUAUUUGGUGCACAAGUUGUGGGCUUGCGUGCAGCAAUUCUAGUGAAUCAUCGAGAGAUGGAAACUGAGGGAUGGAGGUCAAAUUAGGGCAGACCUCACAAGAGAAAUAUGAAAGACAAGGAAAUUGGAGUAGCUCAAGAGCUGUCGAAUCAUCCCUCUUCUUCUGCCAUCCUUUAAGCUUAGGACAAAGAUAUAGCUUGAGAGUCUUUAGGGAUGGAAAGAAUGAUGUUGGUUGUCCCUCAAUCUCCAUGUAUUUUAAAUCAUCUACUCUCGAAAUCUCUAGAUAUUGAAGAGAAGGGAUUUGAUCCAUUGGUGGGAGAUGCUGAUAUCUCUUGCAAUCGCAUAUAGAGAGAUAGACAAGAUUCGUGAGGGAAGAGAACCAACUUGGGAACCUGCUGCCUCCAUAGCCAAGCACACGUAACUCUUUAAGAUUGGGAUGUGGUUGGAGAUUUUGGAAUGCCAUUUCAUCUCUAUCAACAUUUGAAUGUUCCCAACUCUCCUCCCAACGUAAUUCCAAUGAUUGAAGGAAACUUAAUAGUCAACAGUACUCACUGUUCGUGUCAGCUUGCGAUGUGUGUCAAAGGGUGAAGCUAGAGCACCAGAAGCCGGCGGGAAUGCUUAACCCACUGCCGAUUCCAGAGUGGAAAUGGGAGAAUAUCGCUAUGGACUUCAUAGUGGGGUUACCGGCAACGUCCAACAGAUUGGACUCCAUAUGGGUGAUUGUGGACAGACUCACCAAAUCUGCUCACUUCAUCCCUGUCAGGAGUGGCUAUUCUGUGGAUAAGCUGGCGCAGGUGUAUGUGGAUGAGAUUGUCAAGCUGCAUGGGGUUCCUGUUUCUACAGUGUCUGAUAGAGGGCCCCAGUUCACCUCCAGAUUUUGGCGGAGUCUGCAGAGUGCUAUGGGUACCAGAUUGGAUUUCAGUACUGCUUUCCAUCCACAGACUGACGGACAGUCAGAGAGGACCAUCCAGACGAUAGAGGACAUGCUCAGAAUGUGUGUGCUAGAUUUUGGCGGUUCUUAGAGGCAGCAUCUACCCUUGGUGGAGUUUGCCUACAAUAACAGCUAUCAUGCUAGCAUAGGGAUGGCCACAUAUGAAGCUUUGUAUGGGAAGAAGUGCAGAUCUCCUAUCUGCUGGGAAGAAGUGGGAGAAAGGACUCUUGCGGGUCCGGAGUUAGUAGAGCUUACCAGCAGGGUAGUGCCCAUAAUCAGAGAGAGGAUCAAGACUGCUGCUAGCCGGCAGAAGAGUUAUGCAGAUAUCCGCAGAAGACAGCUAGAGUUUCAGGAGGGGGAUUUGGUUUUGCUCAAGGUGUCUCCUAUGAAAGGGGUGGUUCGUUUUGGAAAGAAGGGUAAGUUAGCUCCACGGUAUAUCGGUCCUUUUGAGGUUCUCCAGAGGGUCGGAAAUGUAUCGUACAAGCUGGACUUGAGGUUCUAGAUCACUGUGGUCUGUGGCUCGUAUGCAACCCAAAUUUCUAGUUGACACCUGCAGAGACUCAAAGAAGAUAGAAAACAAAUUAGAGUAAUUCAAAUUUAAGUUGAUUUCUUUUGUUUUUUUAAUUAAUCCUUUGCCUGAGAUCUUUCAUCCGAUUGACUAAGAAUUAUCGGCAAAACCAACGAGAAUGAUAAAAAAGGCCUUCAGUGAGUACUGUUGACUAUUAAGUUUCAGAAAUUGGGAACAUUGUUGCCUUGAUUCACUUGUGUUCUCUCAGAAGAAUUAAAUCCAAGAUGUAAAUUCCCCUUCAGUACUAAGUUAAGAUCUUCCACUUCCAUUCCCUUGUAAGUUAGGAGUUUGACAAUUGAUUUUCCAAAAACACUAUCAAAACCUUUUCUGAAAAAGGAUAUUCCUUCAGAAAUAGAGUUGAGGAAGUCAUCCAGAAUUUCAUUAUUCUUGGCAUUCUUAUUGUAAAAGGAUCGAUAUGCAUCUCUUACAUCUUCUAUAGAAAUAUCCUUUCCAGCCAGUUGCAAAAGAAACACACGAUGAAAGGCAACACCUACUUGCACUUCAUGCAUCAAUGCCAAUGCAAUCACCUUACCAGAAAAUUCAAAACAGUCGUAAUGCAAGGGUUCCAACUUCAAUUCUGCAUAUAUAAUGAAUUAAAAAAUAAUGGAUCGUUACUCUAUAAUUUCUCUUUUCUACUCCUUCCUUCUUAUAUUCUUUAACAUAUAAACAUAUCUAUAUUAGGCAUAUAUCAAUCAUUUCUCAAGAAAAGAGAAAAUCAGGUAAAGUAAUAUAUUAUUAUGGAUGCCACUGACAACAAAUUAAGAUCAAAUUAAAAAGGUAGGAUAGUGCCUGCAAGUUGAUCCAAAUGAGCGUCCAACUGCUUAUGAGCUUUUGGAUCAUCCAUUUGUGAAGGAUAGUGGCUUUUAGCAUCUUUUUUCAAAUUUAGUGAACUCCCUGAAGUUUCUUCUUUAGCCUUAAUUGUGUGAACAUACACCUCUCAUAUUGCUUUCUAAGAGAAAAAGAAAGUCUAGUUAGGUCGUUUAUGAACUUGCAAUGAGUCAAAAUCAUUUUGUAACAUCAUAUUUUAAGUUUGGUACGUGUAUGCUGUGUUUUGAGUUGUAGCUGUUGAUUCUCCUAUGCUGCGUUUGUAAAAGACCGUUAGUCCUCAAUUUUGUUUGUAAUGAGUUUUUUCGUUCUCUCGCCUCAAAUACACGACACAUCGGACUUAACCGCUCAUUUAUCCAAUGUGAAUUAUCUUCAAUUAUAUAUACUGUUUUUGGAUUAAAAUGAUGAAAAGCAGUCAUGAAUCUAUGCAAACGACUGUAUGAUUCAUAUUUAUCCCUCACUUCGACUUGUAGGGUAGCAAUUUUUAUAUAUGGCUCCUGUUCAAUUAAUGCAAAUAUAAAUGAACAAAUAAAAUUUUCAUCCAAUUGGUUAUGGUUUUUUGUCAACUGAGAAUUUGUGCAUGUGUGCAACUCACUGUAUCUCGUAAUUUUCCAUAUAUCCUCCCCUUCUUUUUUGGAUGUUUGAAGCCUCCAUGCACACCCACUUUCUUUGUCUUUACACUUUAUAGAAUAAGUCUUCUCUCUUGUUGCAUGAUAACAAAAUUGAUGAUGAUAUUUUUUUGCAGCCGCAGCCACUGCAUCUCUUGAAAAAAUAUCAUCCAAACUGAAAAUUCUUUAGAAGGAUCCCAAAAGGAACGACCUUCUGGCCUAUCAUAAGGAUCCACUCUCAGCAAAUCGAAGUCUAUUUCUGCGUAUGGGGGAUGAUGAACAACAGACACAAUAGGAUUAGGAAAUUGUGUGUUGUAAUAUCGAGACUCACUCCCACUAUCUUCCUGACCAUUAUCAUCCUCAUCAUCCUCAGAAGACAUCCAUGAAUCAUCGUCAUCGUCAUCCUCGUUGUCAUUCUCUACUGCAUCAGAUAAAUUAAUUGAUGGCCCUGUAAGACUUUUAGAUAAACCAUAAUCAUCAACUACAUUUUGCUCUUCACAUGAAUCAUCAUUUGAUUCCACAGCAGUUUCAGAUUGACCAAUAUCAGCAUCCUCAUUUGUAGUAUCAACACAACGAAGUAUCUUAACAUAUAUUUCUAUACCAAGUAUACCACCAAUUUGAUACAAGUAAUUAAACAUACUAGAUACAUCAUCUUCACCCCAUAUCUCCAUACAUUAAAUUUUAAGGAUCCAUCCACAAUUGUAGACUUUCUAAAACUAAUUGUCUAUAAAUUCAUUAUUCUCGGAUAAUCCAAUUGCACAAGCAAUUUUACCGACCAAUUGAUUAAAACUUAUCUGUAUACCCAUUGGAAUAAUCUUUGAAAAACCUCCAUCAUAAUCGUAACCAUUACAACUAUUUAUAAUAUUAUCAUCCCAAUGAAUAUUAGUAUAUACAGGAACUGUCAUUUCUCUGAUAAAAAAAAAUAGAAUAAUAAAUAAUUUGAUCUCAAUUUACUAUAUACAUAAAAAAAAUAAAAAUUUAGAAUAUAAAAUAUUUAAAACUUACCUGCGUUUCUCUUUUUGUAGUCGAAUCGAUAAGAGUAGAUAUAAUAAUUUUGUGAAAUUUGUAGAGGAGAAUAAAUAGUUUAUAGAACGCAAUUUGUUGAGAUAUAAUGCAGAUUUUGAGUAAUUUAUAGAGUAGUGGGUGAGAUAAUUUAUAGAGAGAUCGGAAAGGGGCGAGCUAAAGUGAUUUAUAGAGUGGUGAGUGGGAUCAUUUAUAGAGAGGUGUGGGAGUAGUAGCCGUUGGCUAGUUCGGCAGUGAUGGUGCCGAACUAGCCGUUGCCGAACUUAUUGCUCCGUACAUGUAGACAAAGAAGCCACGGACUGCACAGGAGGAAUUAAUUGUACAAGAAUUUGUUCCACACCAUCACUGCCGAACAAAUUUCUGUGCAAUGAACCUGCAUGCAUGCACGGUCCUGCAGGUUCAGCUCUUCGGCACUAUAAGUGCCGAAGAGUUUUCUUCUUGUGCGUGUUCGGCACCUUGUGUGCCGAACACGUCAUGCUGGCAGCCACGGGAGCAGAUUACACUGCUCCGUGGCACGGAUCAGCUUGUUCGACACCAUGAGUGUCGAACAAGCUGAAAAACAUCAUGUUCGAUACCUAUAGUGUCGAAUAAUAGGAAGUUUGUACAGCCAUAUCUUUUAGUGUACCAUAGACACAAAGUGAGCAAUUUGAACAAUUUUAGAAUUUCAAUUCAAAUGUGUAUAUAUUUUCUUGUUUUAUUUCUUCCAAAAAUCUGCAAAUGAUGUUUUAUUGUUCUUUUUCUAAACAAAUCAUGUGACCAUAUUGUAAUAAUUUUGUUCAUUUAAUUUGUACAACACAGAAACAAUCUUUUACAAACACAGCACAGAAGAAUGAAGCACAACAUACACCAACCUUAAAACAUGAUGUUACAAAAUGAGCGAUUCACUGCAAGUUCAUGAAUAAAUCUGCUACCUUUUUUUUUUUUUUUCUGAAGGAAGUAAACGUGAACAAAAGCUCAUAAAACAUUGAACAUUUGUUCACACCAUUCAAGCUGAAAAGAAAUUUGAGAAAUGCUAACAGCCAGAAUCCUUCACAAACAGAUGAUUCAAAAGCUGAGAAGCAGUAGGACGCUUUUUUGGAUCAACUUGCAGGCACUUCAUGAUAAAAUCUCGCGCAUUCUCUGACAGAGAAUAAUUAGGAAGAUGAUUUCGAAGUGUCCCUUUUUCAACCUCCAAUUCUAGAUUUGCAUCCCAAUCAUUCACAUGAGAGUAUGGAUAAUUCCCAGUUAACAUCUCCAAGACAGUGCAGCCAAGGCUCCAAAUAUCAGCUUCAACUCCAUACUCUUUGUCCUUUUUCAUAACCUCUGGAGCUAUCCAGUCUAUUGUCCCAUGGCGAGACUUCAAAAGAGGAACUAAUUCUGUCACUUUUGCCAAUCCAAAAUCUGUAAUUUUCACGCAUCCUUUCUCAUCCACUAAUAUAUUUGCACAUUUGAUGUCUCUGUGAACUACCUUUCGCUCAUGGAGAUACUUCAAACCUUCUAGUAUCUGGUUGGUGUAGUAGGAGACUUGGGAGUCUUUCAAUUUAAAACUUUUAUAUACUUGUCGGAGGGAACCUGUGCUUACAAGCUCAAGAAAAAUAUAGACCCCUGACUUAUCCUCCUCAGUACCAUAGUAUUUGACUAUAUUUGGAUGACGUAAUUGACACAAUAAAUUAACUUCUUGCUGAAUUCUGUCAAUUUCUUGCUUAAUUUUGUCUUUGAUUCGUAUUUUCUUUACCGCGAAAAAGAAACCACCAUCUGCAUAUCCCUUGUACACGUUUCCAGAAAUCCCUCCUCCCAGAGUCUUCUUACGGUCCAUUCGCCACUCUGACUUGUUAAUAUUAAGUCCUUGUCUAUUAAUCUGCAAGUUAUUCAAUAUAUUUUCAACAUUAAAAAUUAAUAGAAUUGCAGUAGUACUCCUGGUUAUGCUAAUAAAUCUCACAAGAUUUCUUCUAAAAUAUUUGCAAUACCUGCAGUAAAAUCGUGAAAUUGCUAAAAGGUCAUAGAAAAAAAGUCCAGGAACCUACAUGAUUGCUUUAGAAAGACGACAAAACAAGCAAUUUAUUAACAAAGAAGAUUUCAGCAACUCAUGUAUUGUAUUUGAAAUUAGUCUUCGUAGCUGGAUAAGUACUGAAAACAUAUAGGAAACAACAGUUAUGUUAUGAUAACACUGAAAUUUUUGUAAGCGCGUACCUUCAGGAACUGAGACAUCAGAGGAUCACUCGCAUGUGUUAUCUCUCCAGAAAUAAAUUCAAGAUUUAAUUUUCCCUUUAGCACCAGGUUAAGAUCUUCAAGUUCUAUGCCCUUGAAAGAUAGCAGUUGGACGAUUGAUUUUCCAAAAACACUAUCAAAGCCUUUUCUGAAAAAGGAUAUUUGUUCAGAGAUAGAGUUGACUAAGUCAUUCCGAAUUUGAUCAUCAUCAAGAAAACAUUCCUUGGCCUUCUUAUUGUAAAAAGAAGGAUAUGCAUCUUUUACAUCUCCUAUAGAAAUAUCCUUUUCCGCCAGUUGAAAAAGAAACAUACGGUGAAAGGCAACACCUAUUUGUAGUUCAUGCAUCACUGCCAAUGCAAUCACCUUGCCAGAAAAUUCAAAACAGUCGAAGUGCAAUGGUUCCAGCUUCAGUUCUGCAUAUAUAACAUAUGACCAAAAACGGAAAAAGAAAAACUAUACUUAAAACGGGAUAUUAAUAAAUUUAAGAUAAAAAGGAUUUUUAUGGCAUAUUUCUCGUAUUAAAUGUAUUUUUAUUGGUUUACAUUAUGAUUAAAUUUAAAAAAUUUGCAGUUUUUUUUAAUAUGGAAAAAAUGUAAAAUCUAGAAAAAAAAAUAAUCGGAAUUAGUAGUCUUAGAAUCUAUUUGUACAAAAAUAAAAGAUAGAUUUAAUUUUUCGAGUGAUCUGAUCAUGCGGGGUAGUACAAGAAUAUUCACCUGUUGUCCAUCGACUACGCCCUUCAGCCUGAUCUUAGGCCUUGACUCACUUUUCGUGGACGAACCUUGCGGAGGAACCCUUAUAUCACAUGUUUCGUGAAUUUACAUAUAAUUUAGGUAAAAGUCAGAGAUGACAACUUAUUAGUAAAACUUUUUAUUGUACAUAUUAAUAAAUAUAAAUAAUCUUUUUAUUAUGCAUUUUGCGUCGAAUGUGUACGGUCAAUUUAUGCCAUCAUCUAUUAACUAUCUGUCAUACCCUAAAUACUUUCAUAUCUUAUUGUUUUAAUACCUAAUCGUAUUGUCUCACAUGUACAUAGCUAGCCGAAAGGAAUGAGAAGAAAAACUUAAAAAUCUUAUGCCAAGUCCAAUAUUGUAUGCUACAUGUCGUAAAUUAAUUAUAUGAUGAAGUUGUGACAUAAGGGUUAUAUCAAUCAUUUAUCAAGGGGAAAAAAAAAAUAGGAGAAGCAAUAAUUACGGAUGCUAUUCAUAGGAUCUUACCAGGAUUAGGGUAGAACUUCGUAGGAUCAUUUGGGCACGCCAAGAAAAGCAGAUUUUGCGGUUUGAAUAUAACUUGGCAUAACUUGUAUAACCAAUCCUGCAACUUUUUAGGACUGGUGAGCUUCUUAUUUUUCAAUGCUUCAAACAUCUCUUCGUCCAGAAAUCUAGACCAGUGAAUGAGUGGCUUGUAGAACUCUGCAUCAAGUAAUUUUUCCUCGGGGAUCAUCAUCAUGGUGACUAAGUGCAUCCUGGAUUCAGAAUCAAUCACAUCAUUGUGCUCAAGCAGCCAGUGAUAAUCAUCUUCUCUAGUAGUUGUUUCAAGUAUCAGUCGUAAUGAACUCUGCUGCCUCUUCAAUAAAAGCCGAAACUGCUCCCUUUCACUCUCCCAUAGUUGAGAAAUGCUAUUCAAUUCUUUCAAAAUGUCCAGAUAUAAAUGCGAAACAGAACACAAACAACCACUUGUUUCGAAUAGUUCUGCUGUUAAUAGUAAACCAUGAAGAUGACCCUCCAUGUCUGUAGACAGGUGAUUGAAUGCUUCUUUAGUUGGGACUGAAAACCAUGUCAAUGUUUCUUCAUCGUCACCGUCUAUAUAGCCAAUUGCAUUGCGCACUACACAUGAAAAUGCCUGAAAUUCACCAAAAAGAAAUUUCAAUGAAUCAAUGUGUGAACUUGGAUUUGAUACGCGGAUCUGAACCAAACCCUUGCAUAAUGUGCUUGUCAUCUCAUAAAGGAAAGAACAAAUUGUCAGCACUGUUUCUGGCUCCUCAAAGAGUUUGAUCUUAAAUCUACUUCUUUCCACCAACUGUUUGAGAGAAGUCCGACAUGACUGAUACAGAGGAUCUUCAUUAGUUACUUGAUGUCGAAGUAAUUUACAGAAUUCUAAAGCCAAUAGUCUACAUUCUGGAAGAAAAUCAUCUGGACGAUUCAAUAAAUAAUGCAUGGAAGACAAUAUCAAAGCUCUAGCAUAGGCUUUCUGUUGUUUAAUUCUUGACCUGUAAAACAUAACCAAAGUCGCAGGGACAGAAUACGCAAUCAGAAGAAGCUCUGAUUGCUCGUUUCUUUCAGGUGCCAACAGUGCAAACAUCUUAUGCGCUAGUGGACAGUAAUCUAUCCGCGAGACAGAUUUCUCUCGGUACAUUCGACAAAUGGUCGAACUGAUUUGGUGGAUCAUUUGAAAAAGUUCCGAUUCGCCGUCGAGUUCAACCACCAAUUUGAGCCAAGCUUUGUUUUGAAUUGAGCAGUCUUCAAGCGUCUUAUUCCACUCUAGCUUCUCACCUUUGUAAUAUAAUUUCUGUUGCGUAACUGGAAUUUUGGAGAUCACCAGGAUUUUCUGCUGGAUAAAUUGUACUUCAAAAUUGGAUUUCACAAGAAUUUUUAUAGGUUUACGUUUCGGCAUUCUGACAAAUAAAUGAAAGGAAUUGGAUUCACUAUUCGCCAUCAGCUCUAGAUCACUGUGGUCUGUGGCUCGUAUGCAACCCAAAUUUCUAGUUGACACCUGCAGAGACUCAAAGAAGAUAGAAAACAAAUUAGAGUAAUUCAAAUUUAAGUUGAUUUCUUUUGUUUUUUUAAUUAAUCCUUUGCCUGAGAUCUUUCAUCCGAUUGACUAAGAAUUAUCGGCAAAACCAACGAGAAUGAUAAAAAAGGCCUUCAGUGAGUACUGUUGACUAUUAACUCUUCAGUGAGUACUGUUGACUAUUAAGUUUCCAACAUCCUUUGAGGAAAUAUGCCCUUUUGCCACUACGAACAGUGACAACGUCUGAAGUGAACUCAACUGCCCAAGCCCACGUGGCAUAUGAGUCAAAGAGAAACAACCUUGACAAUACAAAUGCCUAAGAUUCACAAGCUUUUUAAUAUCUUUAGGCAAUUCUUUGAGGUUGUAACAAGAAGAGACAUUUAAUACUUGUAAAUUCAGCAAAUCCGUAAUAGAAUUUGGAAGUGCUAUAAGACUCUCUAUAUUAGAAACAUUAAGAUAUCUUAAAUAUUUUAGCAUUUUUAUAGAGCUAUCCAUCAUAUUUAUUCCACAUGAAUACAUCCUAAAUACACGCAAAAAUUUUAAAUUAUGCAAAAAUUUUAAAUUUUUAUGAAUAAAUAGCCAAUCAUGAUCAUGUUUCCUAAGCAGACCAUGAUCAUGUUUCCUAUUCAGAAAUAACGAUCGUAUUCUUUUUGCGUUAUUAAGAAUUUCUUGUGGUGCAACAUCAAAAUUCAACGCUACAUGAUGGGUUUUCUCAUCAAUAUUUGGUGCAUCAGAAUUUAUCAGCUGAAUUCUCUUUCCACCCACUGUGGUUGCGAGAUCGUGCAUUAAAUCAUGCAUUUUACAGCUUUCAACAUUUCCACAUCUAUCUCUUUCCACCUCUUGAAAAAAUGACCUCCACCACAGUUUCAUAAAAUAUUCAAGCCCAAUAUCUUCAAGACAAUCACUCGUACUUGGUGACUCAAUAAACCCUUGUGCAAUCCAAAGAUGGAUUAAUAUUUUCACAUUAAUCACAGAAUCUUUUAGAUAUAUUGCGCAAUAUGCAAAACAAUGCUUCAAAUGUGAUGGGAGAUGAUCAUAACUUAGCUUCAGUGUUGGCAUAAUAUCAUUACCAUCUUGACUUAUUCUUGAGAGUUCUUUUGUUAAAAAGGGCAGCCACUCAGUUUGUGGAUUUUUCGCAUACAAGAGACUUGCAAUAGUUUUUAUUGCAAGAGGAACUCCACGACAUUUCUUCAAAAUCUCCUUUCCCAUCUCUCUUACAUUUGCAUGUUUUGGCUCCUGCCCCUCAAGUGCUACAUGCAAAAACAAAGACCAAGACUCAUCCGGAGACAACCCUUCCAAAACAUGUGGUGCCAUUGUGCUAGACAUAUCUGCCACCUUUUUAGAGCGAGUGGUUAUUAAUAUCUUACUUCCACUAGAGCCACCCACUAAUAAUCUCUUUAAAUUCUCCCAUUUUUCUCUAUUCUCAUUCCACACAUCAUCUAGAACAAGCAGAUAUUUCUUCCCACUAAUAAUUUUUUCCAGUCUAGACUUCAAUGCUUCUAACCCAAGAUCUUCCGAUCUAUUCCCUGUUGCAGACUCUAGAAUCUUUCCAACAGUCAUUUUCACAUCAAAAGGUUCUGAAACACACACCCAUAUUCUUGGCUCAAAUGAAUUCUUAAUCAAUUCAUCAUUGAAUAUGAUUUGAGCAAGAGUGGUCUUCCCUAAUCCUCCAAUUCCAACAAUUGAGAGGACUGAAACACACUCUUCACCAUUGGAAGACAAUACAAGUUCUGUAAUUGCCUUUUUGUCACCCUCUCUCCCAAUAAUCACUUCAGGUAAAGAGGACGUAGUUUGAUCCCUCCAUACAAUACUCUCCUGAUCAGUACGAACCUCUAAAUUAAAUUUUCUGUCAGCUUCAAUAUCAGCUAGCCUCUCCCUAAUCGCCUUAACUUUAUGACCCAUUUUAAAACCAUAAACAAGUUGAUUUGAAGACGAAAAGAAGAGACUUACCUCCUUUGUCAUUCUAUUUCCAGUCAUCACUCGGCGCCUUAGAGCUUCUGUGGCGAAGUCAUCUACCAAGUCAUCAGCAUCAUAAACAACUUCUUCUAGCCUCUCAAGCCAGCCUUUCACUUGACGGUUAAGUUUCUGCUGCUCCUCAGCAUCCAGAAGAACGUUGCGAAUACUAGAAACUGUGGCCUCAAGUUUCUUAAGCUCACCUUUGACGCCCCACCACAAUCCGAUCUCAUGAAGGGCUCGAGAACCCAGCUUGGUAAUGAUAUCUCUGACAACGUUAGAGAGAACUCCGUCGGCCAUUUUGGGUGUUUUGGUUUGGUUGUAAAAGGAUGAAAUGUUGCUGUGAAGAAGAAGAUACCGACAACAAAUGACUAAUUUAAAGAAAAAAAGAAGCGGAGGAAAAAGCAUCUUCUAAAUGAUUAUGUUCGGUCGGUCAGCUUUUUGGAGGGCCCCGGUUUGCUUUAAUUUAAAAAGUAAAAUAUAUUAACAAAUUUAUAUAUAGAAUGAAAGUAAGUUAUUUUUUUAAAAGUAAUUUUAUUUAUUUAUUAAAAAAUAUUUUUAAUUAAUUAAAUUUUAUGAGCGACUCAAACGUUAAAAAAUAUAUAAUAUAUUUUUAAUAUUGCUGAGUUUAGAUUAAUAUCGUAGUUAAAAUAAAAAUUAUGCUGUGAUUGAUAUAGAAGUUUUCUGGGUCAAGUGUCAACUCUCAGUCCUUAAACUCUGCAGCAUCUGUUUCUACUUAGUUUUCUAGAUGUGCUAUAAUUAAUCUAGCUUUCUAUGACGUGUUUGGUUCCGUGUUUUCCUUCCAUUAUGUUUCAUUGCAAACUUCUUGGUGGGUAUUCUAGUCAAAAUUAUCCUUGCUUCUCCUUCUCCAUGCAUGAUUUACUUCUCCAUGCAUGAUUUAAUUAUAUGUAAUUAUAUCAAGUAAUAUUUUUAAGUUUAUAAUAAAUUUUUUAUUUUAAAAUUAAAAAUAGUAUAUAUUAGCUCCAUGCAUGAUUUAAUUAUAUGUAAUUAUAUCAAGUAAUAUUUUUAAGUUUAUAAUAAAUUUUUUAUUUUAAAAUUAAAAAUAGUAUAUAUUAGUUAGAUUUAUGAUUCUCCUUUAUUAUUAUUAUUUUUUAUUUUAUAAUAAUAAAUUACAUAUUUAAUUAAUAAUUUUUUAUAUUAUUUUGAAUCAUAGAAAAUAAAAUAUUAUGAUAGAUUAUCAAUUAAUAAUUUAAAAUUUAAAAUUUAAAAUCUAAAAAUAAAAAUAUAUAUUAAUAAGUUUAUAUUAUUCUAUAUAACCGUAAUAUAAAAUAUUUUAAUACUCCCACAGUGUGCAGCUAAACCGCUGGUUAAAAAGUAUUUUUGAAUCCUUCCUCUGUCUUAAUCUCAGUCUUCUGGCAACGACAAAGCAGCAGCUUCCUACCAAUUCCUUCAAACCCAAAUCCUUCAAAUGCGGGUCUUAUUAAUUCAGCUCUUUAGCCUCUGUUUUUGCAGUGUCGUCAUCUGGGUUUCUACCGCCUCCAAAUCCAGCUUUUCUACCUUCUGGGUCUGCCGGUAUUUUGCUUGAAUCGGCUUUUUGCUUCCGAGGUAUUGGUGGCAGCUUCGUCAUAGUAGCUAGUGGUUCCGCUUUUUAUUUUAUUUUAUUUUGGAUAUCUUUUUGUAGACCAUAUUGUGAUCUUAUGUGAGAAUGUUAAAUAAUUUACCAGUAGCUAUCCAAAUUUUAAGCAGGGGACUGUGACUUGCUGUAAAUUACCUAGCCUUCAGCAUAUUUUUCAAAAAAAAAAAAAAAUCUUUAGCUUCUACAUUUGCAAAUUCCUUGCUUUUCCAUCUUUUUGCUUGCAAAGAUCACACCUUUGUUAGAACUAAUUCAAAGAAAAAAUGAGUGGAGAAGGAAAGGUGGUCUGUGUCACAGGAGGGUCUGGUUACCUAGCAUCCUGGCUAAUCAAAUUCUUGCUUCAAAGAGCCUACACUGUCAAAGCCACUGUUCGUAACCCAAGUAAAUCCCUCCCUAUCUGUCUCUUUGUUGCCUACAAGCUCAGUUGGGUCAUUGAUGAACCUUAAUUUUUUUGAAUGAGCUUCAGCUUUUUAUUUCUGGGUUCUGGGUUUGUUUUUAUACCGACUUUUGUUGUGACUGGGGAUCUAAUCUUUAUGUUUUACUUAUUGUUUUGACUUCAUUUUAUUCAAUUUCAUGGGGUAUUUACUAGCUUAUAGCAUUUUUUGAUGUGGUGUUGUUGAUUACUGAUAAUUUUAUAUCCUGCAAUUUGCUUGUUAAGAAUGAAUUGAAUCAGCCCUCACUUCGAUUGAGUAGCUAAAUGACUUAACUUUUUUCGUCUAUCAUUAUUUUGAACACAAACCAAGGACGAGGGAAAGAAAGCAAGGUUGAUAAUGUACUAGCAUUUGAGUAAAAUUUUACUAAACUGAUGUGAAAUCUUAAAUUAGUUUUCUUGAUUUAGUGUUUCUUUAACUUCCACUGUUCUCAUUGGACUCAUGCUUUCAGCUCUUUGAAUCUGUAUUCUGUACCCAGAUGAUCUGAAGAAAACUGCAUACUUGCUUGCACUUGAGGGAGCAAAGGAAAGGCUUCAAUUGCUCAAAGCUGAUUUAUUAGAAGGAGGAUCUUUUGAUGCUGCAGUUGAUGGGUGUGAAGCUGUUUUCCACACAGCUUCCCCUGUAUCUCUUCAAGCCAAUGCGGAUCCUCAGGUCCAUCAUCUUUGACAACCUUUUCACUGCCUUUAUAUGUCGAUAGAGUUCCUCUGUUUAGCACCUAAACUGCAAUUUCUGAUUGUUCUGUUGUCAUUUGGCAUUACAUUUUCUCGUAUGUCUCUAUAAUAGCUCGUGCACUAUCUGUGUCAUUUGAUUAUGUUGACAUAACUACUGCUUGAUAGGUUUAGUGUCAUAUAAGAUGUAACUGUUCGUUGUUGGCUAUUUCGAUGGUUCAGGUAGAACUAGUUGAUCCUGCAGUGAAGGGAACACUUAAUGUUCUUAGAUCUUAUGCAAAAGUUCCUUCUAUCAAGAAAGUGAUUAUAACAUCUUCAUUUGCUUCUCUUCCAUAUAAUGGAAAAAAUUCUGGCCCCUGAUGUAGUUGUUGAUGAGACUUGGUUUUCUGAUCCAGCUGUUUGUGCGGAACGGAAGGUUUGUCUUCUAUUAUAAUGCUACUCAUUAUCUUAUGACCCUGAAAUUAGUUGCUUAACCCUCCGUUUGGAAUCAAGAAUUUGGCAAGAACAAUUUAAUUGAUUUCUUUUCUAACAAUUCUUUGGUUUAGAAUGAGUAAAUUCAAUUUUUUUAACUUGAAAAAUUGUCAUUUUAAAAGAAGUAUAAUUCUUGCGUGAUUUUGCAAGAAUUCUUUGAAAUUCUCUUCUUGCAAAAUGAACCAUGCCAAGCAAGGGAUAAAAGGAGAUGAAAAUGUAGAAUAAUAAUAUUUGUUGUUGUAUUUCAUAAUAAAAAUUACAAUCUAUUUAUAUAUAAAAGAUAAUAUCUAAACAGGAAAGGAAAUCAAGUCUAUGAUUGUAGAAUCCUAAGAUUAAGCAACUAACCCAUCUAUCAAUAUUUAAUUGCUAUAUUAAUAUAUUUACUUCCUAUAAUCUAUAACACUCCCCCUCAAGUUAGAAUGUAAAUGUUAAUCAUGUCCAACUUGUUACAUAUAUAAUCAACUCGUCCCAUACAACUUAGUAGACAUCGAAUUUGUGAACCCAACUUUUUCCAAUAGUCGACGUACCUAUAAAACUUCACAAACAGUUUUUGCCAUUACUCGACAUUCAGGUUCAGCACUAGAAUGGGAGAUUACAUUUUCUCAGCUUGGUAAAACACUUUACACACAUCAUAAAUACGAGAAAUAUUCCCUUUGCCAGAAUAUAGAAAUUCCAAAUAUUCCAUUAAUUAUUUAACAAAUUCAGAGUGAUUAAUAAGACUAAUCACUCAACUGUGAAUAGAAUUUUGAAUCUGUGAAUAGUAUUCGUGAACAAUAUCCGAUGAACAGUACUCGUGAACAGUACCGAUAAAUAAUUCCCGUGAACAGUGCCCGAUGAACAGAGUCCUAAAUCUCCAAAUGUUACCCUUUAUGAGUAACUCGAUGAAUAAUUCCCGUGAACAGUACCGAUGAAUAGAGCCCUAAGUCUCCGAAUGUUACCCUUUAUGGAUAACCCAAAUGAACAGAGUCCUAAAUCUCUAAAUAUUACCCUUUAUGAGUAACCCAAAUGAACAAAACCCUAAAUCUCUAAAUGUUACCCUUUAUGAAUAACCCAAAUGAAUAUAGCUCUAAGUCUCCAAACGUUACUCUGUAUGAGUAACCCAAGUGAACAGAACCCUAAAUCUCUAAACGUUACCCUUUAUGAGUAAUUCAAAUGAAUAGAGCCCUAAGUCUCCAAAUGUUACCCUUAUGAGUAACCUAAAUAAACAGAACCCUAAGUUUCUAAACGUUACCCUUUAUGAGUAACCCAAAUGAACAGAGCCCUAAGUUUCCAAAUGUUACCCUCUUAUGGUUAACCCAAAUAAACAGAGUCCUAAGUCUCUAAAAGUUACUCUUUAUGGUAACCCAAAUGAAUAGUAUCAAAAAGACACCUCCACCCAACACCCAAACGGUAAACGAACCACAAAUCUGACAAGAGAGCUGCAAGACGACUUUGGCAUCCUCUUUAGGUGAACGGUGAGAGACAAAUAUUAUCCUAAAUGGAUAACACAAAAAAACAGGAGUCCUGAAUCUCUAAAAAUUUAAAACUUGACGAGAGAGAAAAAAUAUAAUUCUCUACAAACAUGGCUCUGAUACCAUGUAGAAACAUAAUAUUUAUUGUUGUAUUUCAUAAUAAAAAUUACAACCUAUUUAUAUAUAAAAGAUGGUAUCUAAACAGGAAGGAAAAUCAAGUAUAUGAUUAUAGAACCCCUAAGAUUAAGCAACUAACCCAUCUAUCAAUAUUUACUUGCUAUAUUAAUAUAUUUACUUCCUAUAAUCUAUAACAGAAAAAAAGGAUAAAUGACCAUCAUGGUUUGUCCUUGAGCACAUCAAUCUUGAUUACUUCUAAUUUAGCCAUCCCCAUUGGAUGCUUGUGAUGAUACAAUGAAAUUUAUCAACUUGAUUUUAUAUCUUAAACUGUUUUGUUUAUGAGAUAAUUUGGUCUUUUGUUUCUCCAGCUUUGGUAUCAACUUGGGAAAACGUUAGCUCAGCAGGCUGCUUGGGAGUUUGCAAAAAACAACAGGAUGAAUUUGGUUACAAUACAUCCGGUGUUUGUCCUUGGUCCUCUUUUGCAGCCAACUAUUAAUAACUCUAUCGAGAUACUUUCCAACCUCAUAAANNNNNNNNNNNNNNNNNNNNNNNNNNNNNNNNNNNNNNNNNNNNNNNNNNNNNNNNNNNNNNNNNNNNNNNNNNNNNNNNNNNNNNNNNNNNNNNNNNNNNNNNNNNNNNNNNNNNNNNNNNNNNNNNNNNNNNNNNNNNNNNNNNNNNNNNNNNNNNNNNNNNNNNNNNNNNNNNNNNNNNNNNNNNNNNNNNNNNNNNNNNNNNNNNNNNNNNNNNNNNNNNNNNNNNNNNNNNNNNNNNNNNNNNNNNNNNNNNNNNNNNNNNNNNNNNNNNNNNNNNNNNNNNNNNNNNNNNNNNNNNNNNNNNNNNNNNNNNNNNNNNNNNNNNNNNNNNNNNNNNNNNNNNNNNNNNNNNNNNNNNNNNNNNNNNNNNNNNNNNNNNNNNNNNNNNNNNNNNNNNNNNNNNNNNNNNNNNNNNNNNNNNNNNNNNNNNNNNNNNNNNNNNNNNNNNNNNNNNNNNNNNNNNNNNNNNNNNNNNNNNNNNNNNNNNNNNNNNNNNNNNNNNNNNNNNNNNNNNNNNNNNNNNNNNNNNNNNNNNNNNNNNNNNNNNNNNNNNNNNNNNNNNNNNNNNNNNNNNNNNNNNNNNNNNNNNNNNNNNNNNNNNNNNNNNNNNNNNNNNNNNNNNNNNNNNNNNNNNNNNNNNNNNNNNNNNNNNNNNNNNNNNNNNNNNNNNNNNNNNNNNNNNNNNNNNNNNNNNNNNNNNNNNNNNNNNNNNNNNNNNNNNNNNNNNNNNNNNNNNNNNNNNNNNNNNNNNNNNNNNNNNNNNNNNNNNNNNNNNNNNNNNNNNNNNNNNNNNNNNNNNNNNNNNNNNNNNNNNNNNNNNNNNNNNNNNNNNNNNNNNNNNNNNNNNNNNNNNNNNNNNNNNNNNNNNNNNNNNNNNNNNNNNNNNNNNNNNNNNNNNNNNNNNNNNNNNNNNNNNNNNNNNNNNNNNNNNNNNNNNNNNNNNNNNNNNNNNNNNNNNNNNNNNNNNNNNNNNNNNNNNNNNNNNNNNNNNNNNNNNNNNNNNNNNNNNNNNNNNNNNNNNNNNNNNNNNNNNNNNNNNNNNNNNNNNNNNNNNNNNNNNNNNNNNNNNNNNNNNNNNNNNNNNNNNNNNNNNNNNNNNNNNNNNNNNNNNNNNNNNNNNNNNNNNNNNNNNNNNNNNNNNNNNNNNNNNNNNNNNNNNNNNNNNNNNNNNNNNNNNNNNNNNNNNNNNNNNNNNNNNNNNNNNNNNNNNNNNNNNNNNNNNNNNNNNNNNNNNNNNNNNNNNNNNNNNNNNNNNNNNNNNNNNNNNNNNNNNNNNNNNNNNNNNNNNNNNNNNNNNUAUCACGAAUAUCAUGUAUUUAUAUGAUUAGAAUGCUUUGCAUUAGAAUUCACGAAUAUGAUGCAUUGUAUAAUUUAUUAUUGUUGUUGAUAAAUGUUGGAUGACCUACUAGCUCUCGAGUAUGUUACGACGGAUAUGAAAAGACUAGAGCUUGCCUAUUCUACGCUCUUGGCACUGUAUAAGAGAAAGACCAGGGUUGCCCAUUCUACGCUCUUGGCACUAUGGAUGUAUUAUCUUAUGUUUAAGAGGAAGUUCUGAAGAGCACUCGUUGUGAGCCAGUCACUAUUGGAAUCUAUAGAGGAUCACUGGUGACAAGUCCAUCUUGAUAUAAAUUGUUUGUAUUGUGACGCAUUUAUAUGAUCAUAUGUCUUAUUAAACUGCUCUUUAUGUUUUUGCUCACUAGACUUUUGUAGUUUAUCCUUUUUCCUUAACUCCAGAUUUGCAAGAUCAGAGUUAGCUCAGGAGGUGGGCCGAGUUAUUGGUAUAGGCCAAUGUAAUAGCAUAGCAAUGGACAUGUAUUAAUUUGCAGAUUUAAAUUGUGUUUUGCCUGAGUUUUCUUUAUAAUCCUUACUUUAUAAUUUUUUUAUGUAAAAAUUUUUAAGUAUAAGUUAUGUUUGAACUAAGCUUGAGGCAUGUAAUGUUGAUCAUACUGAAGCAUUUGAUGAGGAUUCUAGUAUGAAUUUAUGUUUACAGUUAUGAUACAUGUGUAGGUCAAGUUUUGGUUAUUGAAACAGAAGUGUUUUUAUAUGCUAUGCUUGUGUGAUUAUGUAUGGAAUUAUAUCAGGUGUAACAAGAUGUCUAGUAGGUUUGCUAUGAGUUUCGGCGAUCUUAAGUUGAUUUAAACUCUAGCGCCGAUAGUGGUCCAGUUUCCAGAUCGUUACAGAAAUUUUUGGAUAGCAGGAGCUCAAGAGUAUCCUGAUGCAUACUAUAGAUCCAUCGAUGUAAGAGAUGUUGCGUAUGCACACAUUCAAGCUUUGGAGAUUCCUUCAGCUAGUGGCAGAUAUUGUUUAAUUGAAAGAGAUGUCCACUUCUCUAAGGUUCUGAAGAUUGUGCAGCAACAUUAUCCUACAUUGCACCUUCCAAAAAAGUAUGGUUUUUGUAUAUUUUUGCAUGCUCAUGUUGGACCAGCUAUAUGAAUGGCUAAGAUCUAUAAUAUUUUGGAUAACUGAGAAAUAGUUGUUUUGAAUGAUUAAUUUGAUCAUGGAAUAUCAUCUGAGUUGCAGAUGUGGAUCCGGAUUGAAUUACUUAACAAAGUAUGGGGUAUCAAAGGAAAAGUAAAAACUUUGGGUAUUGACUUCAUUCCUUUGGAGGUUAGUUUGAAGGACACUAUUGAAAGCUUGAAGGAGAAGAGCUUCCUCAGUAUUUGAUUUUGGCUGUCGGAUAAAAAGCAAUGCAAAUAUUACAUUGGCCUUUCAGGUUCAUUGGCUUUAGCUUCCUAUUGGUGCAAGAUAUUAUUGCCCUUCAGGAUUGUCUUUAUUUGAAAAAAGUGGACCAAUACAAUUUGUAAAAUUUAUAACAAUUUGUAUACAACUAUAUAUAAACAUAUUACAUGCGUCACUUGUUUCACUGGUAGAUGAAGUUCAUUUCAGGUCUGAUUUCUGAGGAAGUUGCUCUUUUUUUUAUCUGAUUUCAUGUCUCAUUCCAAAGAAGACACAAGAAAAAAAAAAGUGUAAUCCACCAAUUCAGAUUUAUUUCAGUCUUUUCAAAGUAUAUUCAGAUUUCAUAGCCAAUUCAUUUAAUGCUGUAUCUGAUUUCUGGUUCUUGUGAUACGCUCUUACAAAAUUCAUCUAAAAUUCAGUGCUCUUACACAUUCUGGAAACACAAUUUAUACAAAAACUGAUUUCGCAGGGAAAAAAGGGAAAAUAAUGUUAUUUGCAUUGAAUGAGCAAAUGAUUAGCAUAGUAGCAAAACUACUUAAAAUAAGAGAAAUUAGAAACAAAAAAGCAGCACAGCAUGAGUCGGGGCAUUGCAUGUUGGAUGAUCGAAACAGAGGUCUUGAGCGAGAAUCUGGAUCCUGAAAUACGCAGGCCUGCAAAAAGUCAUUCGAAUAAGUGUGCAAAACUCCCAUCAUUCAGCUUUCAUUUCUACUUCCGCUCAGCAGGAUUACUAUGUACUGAGUUGUUUUCUGAACUGUGACAGAUAGGAAACUUAUCCCGGUGAGUUUUUAUUCCGGUAUGUCAAGGGCACAAUGCGCAGCUUAGUGAAUCUCCAUCAUCUUUGCCACAGGCGUAAGUUAUGAAGAUAAUAGCUAGAUGGAGGAUUUUCACAGUAGUGAUUUAGCAUCUGUUUCAAGCCAGAAUCAUCAUUAAAUCACAGAUUUGCUUUACAAGCAAUAACUAGGGGGAUUUCAUAUUACAAGUAGAGUCUUUAUAACUUACUGAAUCGAUUAUUUUUGAAGACAGAAGAAGAGGAGAGCUCACGUUUUGUUUUUACUGCACAAAUACUGCAUAUGGAAUCUGAGUGAGAAGUUACUCUCUAAAAAUUUCAAAAGUGUUUUUGAGAGGUACCUUUGCGUGAAUCUUCUGGCAACAGACUCAAAGUAGUCAUCCAAUAAGUAGAAAUUCUUCUAUGGAAGGCCACACACAUUAAUAGCAGUUCUUUCAAGGCGAAUUAUGCCAAGCCAAUCAAGGAAUUGCUGCCAUGGCAUGUAGUUGUGGUUUCUUAAUGUGUUCGAGUAACUUCUGCACAAUGAAUCAAAUUAAUCUUUAAAUCCGUGAAAUUAAAAGGGAUGCAGAAUUACAAAACUAAUAAUAAUAACAAUAAUAAUAAGAUGGAUAGAAGCAUGACCUGCCAAUGCAUGAUUUCGGCAAGCCUUUGCAUUGGUUCACCACUUCCCAAUGUAUUAAGAAUUUCAACAGCAUCCCAGAAUUUCAAUAGCAUACCAAUGAUAACUCAUACUUGAUGAGCCUUGAUGGAGAAAUGAAAGUCCAGUUAAAAUUAUUCAAAAUGCAUAUUCACUCGCCAAGAACAUAUGCACCCAGAAAUCUCCUUAAAUAAGUAAGGUUUUAACAAGGUGAAUGCUUUGCUUUUUCUUUUUUUGGGAAGAACUUCAAAGUAAGCAAAGGUAAGACUAUUGGGUUUUGAUGUUUACCUUGUGUGGGAGAAAUAUGAUGUUUACCCAGAAAUCACAUUUUGUUUUCAGAAUAAAUGGUUUUUUCCACCUCUGCAUUUGACAAUGAAAAAACUUGAAUAAAUACCAAAUAAUUAAGAUAUGCUGCUGAUUUAAUUUACAAAGGAAUGGUGCAUGUGAAGAGAAAUUGACAUAUGACAAUCACCUUC
Molecule: long non-coding RNA, 59177 nt
Filed under: Manihot esculenta (cassava)
Lineage: Eukaryota; Viridiplantae; Streptophyta; Magnoliopsida; Malpighiales; Euphorbiaceae
Description: long non-coding RNA (MESC_LNC003829)
Source: RNAcentral